GGUUACCGUAUUGCUGGUGGCCCCCUCGGUGAGGUCACUGACCCAAUCUACCCAGGUGGCAGCUUCGACCCAUUGGGCCUUGCUGAUGACCCAGAGGCUUUUGCUGAGCUUAAGGUGAAGGAACUCAAGAACGGACGAUUGGCCAUGUUCUCUAUGUUUGGCUUCUUUGUUCAGGCCAUUGUCACCGGAAAGGGUCCAUUGGAGAACCUCGCCGAUCACCUUGCUGACCCUGUCAACAACAACGCCUGGGCCUAUGCCACCAACUUCGUCCCCGGAAAGUGAGCGUCAAAGAACGAAAUGACUUUUGAGAGUUUUUAGAUUUGUGUUUGGUGAAGUACUUCAGAUAAUGUGAAUUAUCUUGUGUAUCCGAAUCCAACUUAAUGUUACUUGCUUUUUACAAAACUCAAGUGUCAAUUUGUUCUCUCAUUUUAUACUUCUAAGCUUUUGACGCCACAUUGAAUUUGAACUCUAAUUGAACUAAAAAAUGUUUCCCUUCUCUCAUACUAAUACUAAUACUAAGCAGGGCCACUAAUAAUCACACAAAAGGAAAGAAACAAUAUGACAACAAAAUUCGACCAUUAUUAUCACUGUCAUCGAAUUCCAAUUUCUUCUCCUCACUAAAACAGGUAUGUAUAUGUAAUUGUAAUUUCAACAUCGUCACAUGUUCUUAAUGGAGUCUGAAUUUUGAAGUUUGAUGCUUGCUCCUGUUAAAAGGAUGUUAAAAUUAGACCAAACUUUAUUACCAGCAAUAGAAUCUCAUAUACGAGAAAGUACUUUGGGUUCUCCCAUCUUCCUUCACUCCAGUGGUAGCCAGAAUUGUCCCUCCCAGGAUAGCAGUGAACCAUCUCAAUAUUUCCCAAGAAUUUCCAAACCAUCACGACCCUUCUCAAACAGAUCACAUCACUACAUGUAACUGAGGCAACACCCCAUUUUCUUAUUACUCUUUAGCUUUGUUGUUUUAUUUUAUGAUAUUCAUCUUUCUAAUUGUUAUAUGCAAAUGCAAUCAGUUUGUUGAAAUUGCAUAAUGUGGUCUACAAAUAGCCGAACAAUGACAAGUUCUAUUAGUGAAUCUUAAUCUGAAAGUAGAACUUGUUUAGAAAAGUAUUUAAAUUUUUUAUUUUAAGUUUCAGAUUAUAUUUAAUUGGAAUUUAUUAUUGAGCAUGAAACUUUAGAGCCUUUACGACUGACGGAAAACUUGGAAGUUUCUUUAAUACUCCUGGGAGAGAGCAAAUUCCAUUGAUUACUGAAAAUGAGAAAAGAGUAGGAGAUAGAACAAGGGUUAGAUGAGUAAAACACUUAAAUGCCUACUUUAGGUUGAGGGAGGAUGGCAUCAGUGGAUUAUGGAUAGUGUAACUCUUUGCUUAUAGUUUUGUUAUUUUGCCUUAUUUCUUAUAAGAUGAUGAUUGCAUAGUGCUGUACUUUGUAAUUUCCCUGGUUUCCACCGUGCAGUUUUUACAAACAGUUUUUAUUAAUCCAAGAGUGGGGAGGGGGAGUGAAAAAGAAGAAAGAAAAAAUGCAACAAUGGACAAUCAAUUUUAUAUUAAAUGGCUGUGAAGGAAAGCUGAUAAUUCCGUACAUUUAUUGGAAAACUAGCAUGGAUAUUGGAUACAAUAAGGCUUUGCUGUUGUUAAAGACAAUAGUAAUGAGGCAAUUGGGAAGCAUUUGAUAUUUCUUCUUUAGAAAAAGCAGCUCCAAGGAGUGAUCGGUUGUGUUUACCAAUUAUCAAGACAGUGUUGUUUGAAGCUUCACAAGGGAAGAUAACACCUCAUUCAUAUUUGGUCGAUGUUCAGGAUCUGGGAGGGUGCAGCACAAUGAUAACUUAAUGAGCUCUGGCAACACUUCGUCAUGGUCAACAUCCCAGGUAAACAAAGGGUCUACAAUAUUGGCAAGUUGUUUUAUUCCAUUUUUAAGGGCUUUUGUCACUACUUCACGCAAAGUGAUUGGCAAACCAUCCUCUUUUUAGAGUCCUGUCGGCCUUCUUUUUGUUAGAAACUCCAUUACUAUGACACCGAAGCUGAACACAUCUGCUUUAGUGGUUACUUUCCUCAUGUAGGCAAAUUCUGAAAAUUACACAGCAUAAAUAUCUUGUUUAGAGAGUGAAACUUAUAAAAACUUUCGGGUAUACAAUGUUAAUAAGAUAAGAGGAUUCGAAACAAAGUGACAAAAUAAGAAGUUGUGUAAUUGUGCCAGUCUUGGUCAUGCUACCUUCUCUGAAUAGAACGAUAAAAUAUGGGAUCAUCAUAUGCAUUGAACAAAAGCAGCAAAUAGUCACAAAAACAUGUUACUCUUAAAAUGGUACUUUGUCAGAUUAAGGUAACAAGAACUAAAGUAUUCAUAUAGUUUGUAAGUUCGCCAAGAACAUAAUUCUGGUGAAAAUAUAUUAUACAUUGAAGAUAAGAGAUUAGCAAAGUAGAAAAGGCUUGUACCUGGUGCCAUAUAGCCCAAUGUGCCUUGCAAAGCUGCAGAUGAGGAAAGGGUACUACCAUCCUGCAGAUGAAGGCCAAGUAUUCGAGCUGUCCCAAAGUCACUGACAUGAGCUUCCCAAUCUCUAUCUAGAAGGAUGUUAGAAGGCUUUAACUCACAGUGUACAAUGGGAAAAUCAUAACCAGAGUGCAGAUAAUCCAAUGCACUAGCAAUAGAAAUGAAAACUCGGACUCUUUCAGAUAAUGUCCACCUAGAGAUCACAGACUCAUCUUUCCCUUUGUCAUGUAUUAUGCCAUCCAAAUUCCCAUUCUCCAUGUACUCUAGAACCAAAGCCUUCAUUUUCCCACUCUCCCAGGCAUAUCCAAGUACCUUAACCAAAUUCCUAUGUCUCAUCUGGCACAAGAUUUUGGCUUCCCUCUUGAAGAUCUUGUCAGUAUUUACAGAGAACUGUUGCAAAUUCAAUCUUUUUAUGGCAACAAACUGGUCAUCUUCCAUUUGACCCUUGUAAACUGUGCUCAAACUACUAGCACCAAUGAUGCUGUCAUAGCUGAAAAAACCAGUUGCAUUUUCCAAGUCCUUUGGAUUGAACCUUUUAAGUGGCAAUGCUGAACUGUAUUCUGGUCCAUGAUUCGCACUAAUAUCCCUUUCUUUAGAAUUGCAGAGUUUGAUACCUCUAUUGAGAAUUAGAAUCACCAAGACUAAUAAUAGUAGUAUAGCAAGUGAUCCAAGUGAAGCAAUAAUAGAUAUGCUCUUCUAAGUGAAGCAAUAAUAGACAUGCUCUUCUUGAAGUUAAAUCAAGAACCUGAAGGCCAGGAAUGUUUCCAAGGAAAGGUGAAAUCUCCCCUUGGAGCUGAAGACUAACAAAGGAAAUUGAAAUGACAUGAUUUGAAGAUGGAUCACAUGCAAUGCCAGACCAGUUGCAGUGGUGGUGAGUGUCAAGCCAAUCUGCAAGAGCCCCAUUUGGGUCAGCAGUAAUGGAGUUCUUGAAAGCUUUCAAUGCUUGAAUUUCAACAUCCAAGCUUGUUUCAGCAUGGGAACUAUGGAUACAAUGGAAAGGACUAUUACUAUAGUCAAAUUAAUCUUUAGGGACAACAUCACUUUUGGAAUUUGGUAGAAUAUUCAAUUGCAGUUUGCUGAUACAAAAUCUGGUGUGAGUGAAGCCUUUCUUAUAGAACUAAUGUUCAUUCAUCCACUAAUAAUUUCAAAGGCCUGGCCCCUCUAUUUGUGACAAAGUGCAUUGAAUGACUUGCAGGCAAGUCAAAUCAUUAGCAGUGAUUAAUGUUACUUAGGAAGAAAACCGUGAUUGUUUGGACAAGGACUGAAUGUCUUAAAUUUGACUUGUGAGGUCAUCCCAGUAUAACGAAACUGUUUGUAUCUUCUUCUGAUUUAGACUAUAACACGGCACGCCAAAUUUGAAUACUAUCCACUAAGGCAAAGGUUGAGGAGAGAGAGAGAACACAUGGUAGAUAUAAUAUGGCCAUCCAUAGCUCAAAAGCUAGAAACGAACAAAUAAAUAAGUUGUUUUUAAAACCUAGCACUCGGAGAUACCAGUUUAUAUUGUCAUAAAAGAAUUUAAUUAAAAUUGUUUAUAUUUUCAUCUAAUCAUAGAUUGUCAUGCAUGGUAUCAACGAGAGGGUCUGGAUCAUCUGGUGUGGGAUUGCAAUAACUUCAAAGUCCAUUGCAUUAUUAAAAUUAAUGCAUGCAUUGGAGGUAUUGUUUGCUUGAAGACAAACAAAAGUGACUUUAAAUUUAUUAGAAGUGCAAAGAUCUUUACAUAUCAAAAUUAAACUCAAAUAAAAUAUAAUCACGUACAUGCUUUUCACACAUUGCAACUUGCAUUUGGAUCAAUUCGUUGAUUUUACUAGACUUUGGUUGAAUUGUUGUAGCUACCAGUACUGGACGUCGAGUUUUGUCUUUUUAUAGUGCCUAGCAGACAGCAGUUUAGCAUUGGCAACUAAGAAUUUGAAAAUAUAGAAGCACUGAAGGAGUCGGUCAUAAGAAACAAAAGUGAGCAUGCAUGAAUAUCCGCAAACGCGGUUUGCAGCAAGUUGUGUGAUGAAGACAAGAAACAAGUUUGUUAUAGAUAGAUAAUGCGGCAUAUAUAAUUAAUGCCAUGCAAUGCAAUGCAAGUAGCGCAAAAUAACGGCCAAAAAGAUUUCAAGUGCGGAUUUGCCUUACUAUAUAUAUAUGAUUCAGGGGAUAUUCAUAUACUUAAACUGUUAAGUACAGUUAUACGUGCUUGGGAAAAGCCUUCACAUCUACUCCAAUUAAAUUCUAGGCUGUUAAUCAAUAAUUAUAAUCCUACUUUGUAUUCUGUUCUUGACAUCGCUCAAGCCUGGUUAGUCUAUAUAUUCUUUACUUCAGCAUAAAGACGAAGCUGAACAUAUUCUUAAGUAGCCAGACUGAGUUCACAAUUAAUAUUCAUAGCAAUAUCUUAACAGUGAUAGAGGCGAAAAUAAUUCCUUGUGGGAUACGUUAGUAGUUAGUUGGAUUGAAGCUUGUUCUAAGACUCAACAUAUAUUGCUGCUGUUCUGAACAUGAUUGCUUGCUCUAGGAAAAUGUAUAAAAUUUAUAGUCAAUCAAACAAUCACAUAGGAUUAUAGGGGUGACAAAUCGGGUUGAACCCUUCGGAUCAACCUAUGUUUUGCCUCUUUUUUUUGGUAGGAUGGAUUGAGAUUUUCAACCCUUCAACAUGCUACAAUAUGUCUUGUUUUGACCCACCAAAAAAUGGAUUGAAGGAAAAAUAUGAUGGACUAACUCGUUGACUAAGUUUUAUAUAUAAAAAAUAAUAUUUAUUUUGAUAUUUUAUACAUAUUUAUUAAUUUUUAAUUUAUUUUUUUUCUAAAUAAAUUAUUCAAAAUUUUAGAUAUCAUUUAAUUUUUUUAGAAAGUAUUUAUUAUUUAAUAUUUAUAAAAGAUAAAAUAUAUAUAUUCUUAUUAUUAUCAAUUUUUAGAGGAACAAACUUUAAACCACUGUCCUUGCACAAUAAUUUAUUUAGCGUAAAAUCUCGUGUUUGAUGUGUGUCGUGUGUAAAAAUUUUUUUGGGUCAAUGACAGUUAGACAUUCAUAAUACUAUGAGCGAGAUUAAGAUUAAUCUUCCAACUAAUAGGUUGGAAAAUAAUAAUAGAAGGAAAAAAAAUCAUGAAACAAACUUUAAACCACUUGAAGUGGGUGAAAUAUUAAUAUGCAAUCACUAUUUGACUUAAUUAAAAUUAGGGUUCCUAAUCAAUUGUUUGGUCUUGAAUAUUUAAAGUAAUUAUAUAUAAAACUAAAGAUAAAUGUUACCUUAAUUAUAUUUAAUGAUAAUUAUAAUAAUUACUUUAAUUAUGUCUCUAAAAUAAUCUAAUUAACUUAAUUUAAAAUAAUUUUAAUUACAUUAUAUACUAAUCCUAAUUAUAUAACUAAUUCAAAUUAAAAUAUACAUUAGUGAUAAUUAAUUUAAUUAAUAUAAUUAUGUAUUUAUAAAUAAAAAAUUGUGUUGCAUUACGGCAAAAAAAUUGAAUGUGAUGUUAACUAGUGGUAUUUGCUUAGGUAAAAAAAAACCUCUUCAUAUAUCUUUGCACGGUUGGUUAAUUAGACGUAAACUCAACUCUUCACGAUUGUAUGAUUUUCCUUCUUCUGAGUACGUAUUAGGAUAUUUUUUUAAUGGAGAAUAUUUUUAUUUAUCAGAAAGAAAAAAAGAAAAAAAUAUGAAGACAGUGAAAAUCAAAAUAAUUUCGCUUGGUGGUUGAUCGCGGACAACAAUUUGAUAGUAAGCAAAAUCAUGAAUAAUUAAUCUAAAUUUUUUUUAUAGAAAUUGUAUUUAGCUGUAAUAUUUUCUCUUCCAAGUAUAUAGGCAGAAAAAAACAUGCAUUCAUAUGUUCCUAUCGUACGCCAAAUGAUUUGGAUUAAAAAUUACUUGAUUUGAAAUAAAAAUCAGAAUUUGCAUGUUAUGCUGGUACAAAAUUGUUUACCACUCAACAAGCUCAAGAAAAUAGUUCACGAUUGCAAAGGAGAUAAAAACAUAAGUGUUAUAUAUAUAUAUAUAUAAAGAAAACAAAAAGAGAGACAAAAUUGAAUAACACUAUCUUCCCAAUCAAAUUUGUAUUUUGUCUAAAAAAUCAAUAAAUUUAAUCAAUUAGAGAGUGUUUGACUGAGUGUAUUAGAGGAUGUGUCCUUAACAUUUCUCUUAAAAAUGUAUUUUUUUUAUAGGUUUACUUAUUUUUUUAUUUUUAUGCUAGCUAUUUGCAUAUACUACUCUCUUGUUACAUUUCAACUGUUAACGCUGAGUUUUCUAAUUGAUGUGUUAAUAAUUGUUUUAAAACUGAUAGGUGACAAUUAUUCUCUGAUAAUAUCUUUUUUUUUUGUUUUUUAGAUAUAUUUGUAAAAAAAAGGAAGUAUAACAUAAAAUUUUAUUUUAUUACCAGAGUAAAAAGUGUAGAAGAGCUUUAGAGAUAUUUUUCUUUUUAAAGGAUAUGAUUUAUAUGCGUAUAAGAGGUUCUGAGAUAUUUUAUCCGUGAAAUAUAUAGUAAAAAAGAAGUGUAACACAAAAUUUAAAUAUUGAUAAAAUGUUAUCCUUAAAAUAGGAAAUUUUAUUCAUGGUAUAGAAAGUGUAACACAAAAUUUAAAUAUGGAUAAAAUCCUAUCUUUAAAACAGGAAAUACAUCCUAAAAUAACAUAAACAAAUUUAUAAUGUUUGACAUCUAAAAUAAUAUCCUAAAUAUUUGAAACAAAUAACAAAAUUUUAAAAGAUAAAUAAAUUAUUUCUUUCUAAACUAAAUAAAUAUAUAAAUAUGAGACAUAUUUGAAACUAUGUAGACCUCUAUAUAUACCCUGCCCAUUCACUCCAUAUUACAGCACCUAUAUUUUUCUCAAAGGGAAGCACCAUUUAACAUUUUACAAAAUUUCAAGCAAUGGCCAAAUCAGCUGGGUCACUUGUUGUCUUUCUCUCUAUUUUCAUUUUGCUCCUCUUUUGCAACUUGGGUAAUUUAUUUUUGGGUUGCACUUUUAAUGUUCUCUUCCAUGUGAAUUAUCUUUUUUAUAAUGUCCAUAAUUUUCAUAGAAUUUAUCUUUAUAAUAUGUAUGUUAACAUGACUUUUUUUUUAUAUUUCUUUUGAACUAAAUUCUAAUACCCACAAUGUAUAGAAUUGCAUAAACUUUAAUUUAUUUUUUGACCCUUUCUAAUGUGUUAUUAUUAUUUGGUUGAAUUGUUUAGGAGGACAUUUGAAGUUUGCUAAUGGAAUGGCUAAAAUUUAUCACCUUAAUUACGUAUCUUAAUUUUCAUGUAUAAAAAUUCAUGAAAGCUCAUAGUUUUUUUUUUUUUUUUAAUUUGGUGAUGGAAUAUAGGUAGGCCAAUAAAUUUGGAACGUAGCAAAACCUUCAACAAGUGAUGUUGAACUCAAUGAAAUCAUUGAAUAUAGUUGCAGUUCCUUGGGUGAUUGCAAAAUGAUCCAACAAGGUGGAUCCUGCUUCAACCCUAACACUCUGAUCAACUUUGCCUCUGUUGUCAUGAAUCAAUACUAUGCAACUAAUGGCAGCAACAUUUGAAACUGUUACUUCUCUGGUUAUGGUCUCAUUGUUGUCACCAAUCCAAGUAAGCUAGCCGAUUAUGUUAUAUUAUUAUAUUAUAAUUAUUUUUCGUUAAGAAAAUUGGUAGAAAUAUAACAUGUGAUUUAUUUUCAGAGAUUAUUAAAAAUGUUUUUAUUUUAGUUUUUUUGGGAUUCUGAGCUAGUUUUUUUUUCUUUUUCUUUUAUUUGCAGGUUAAGAUAACUGCAGCUAUGUUUAGCGGGGAUAAACCGGAAAAAGAUGUAUUAUUUAGAGAUAUAUUUACUAGUUAACUCUAUAGGUAUGUUUGAUUUCCAAAGUUAAUUCUUUAUUAGGUGAUGUAAGGAAUAAGAAGUUUAUUAUUCGCUAUUAUGGUCUUUUUUAUAUUUCAUGAAGAUUAGUACUUUGUUAUUUCAUUACCAGAUUACUUUAAUGGUUAUAUUGUUGUCUCUUUAUAGUCUCACACACAUCAUAUAUAUAUAUAUAUAUAUAUAUAUAUAUAUAUAUAUAUAUAUAUAUAUAUAUAUAUAUAUAUAUAUCGAUGAAACAUCAUUAAAUCUAGGCAAUUAGUCCACUGUCUCAAGGAUUAAAAAAUCAAAAUAUUAAUUUAUAGUCAAUCACACACAUAUAUAAUUCUAUAAGAUCAGAAAUAAUAUAAUUUUACAAGUGAGGAUGAGUUUUUUUUUUUAAAAAAAAGAAGAAAAGAGGAUGAGCUACUUUUAUUCUAGUAUAAUAAUAGUUCUUAUUUCUUUUUCCAUCAUAAGUCAUAGAUUACUUUUACCUUUCAUCACCAUCAAGCACACUUAUAAAUUGAGUUUUGAUCCAAUAAACAUAUAUGAAAGUACAUAUAUAUAGGGUGAUUCAUAUACCAUAAUUAAUAAUAUAAGGGUUAAUUAGGUAUUUAUUCCCCAACUUUAUUAAAUUUUCAUUUGUAGUCUCUCAAUCUUUUUUUUAUAAUUAUUAGUUUUCUGUUAAUUUUCCGUCAAAUAAUUUUUGUCUCUAAUUUUUCUUGUUUGUCGUUUAUUUUCCGACAAAUACUGCCAAGUCCCAUCUAGUAUCUAGUACUAUACUGCACCGCACUGUUUCGUCGUUGACAAAAUAAAAAGGAAAGAAACAAAUGGACAACAAAAUUCGACCUUUAUCAGUGUCAUUGCAUUCCAAUUUCUUCUCCUCACUAAAACAGGUACGUGUAUGUUGUAAUUUUAAUUUCAGCAUCGUAAAAUGUUCUUAAUGGAUUCUGAAUUCUGAGGUUUGAUGCUCGUUCAGGUUGAAAAGAGGUUAAAAUUAGACCAAACUUUACAACCAGCAAUAGAAUCUCAGAUACAUGAAAGCAUUUUGGGUUCUCCCAUCUUCCUUCAAUCUAGUUGUAGCCAGAAUUGUCCCUCACAAGAUAGCAGUGAACCUCCUCAAGCAUUCCUCUCAGUUUCCUAAGAAUUUCCAACAAUCCAUCAAGACCCUUCUCAUUUUUAAACAGAUCAUGUCACUCCAGCCAAUGAAGCUGAAGAUAAUGAUGAUGACAUUGAACAGUUAAUGCAGCUCUUGGGAUUAUAAGAGGUACAAGAACCAAGGGAUGAUGGUGAUUCAUGCCACUGUGAAGAUGGGUUUUAUGUAAAAAUUGUUGGUUUGUAAGGGCCAAAGUGUAGGAAGGAGGUGCUGAGGUUAGAUGGGUGGAUCAACCACUUUAUGAAUGGUGGUGGGGAGGAGAAGCAAGAACCCUUGAGAUUGGCACACCUGCUUUUAGGGAAAGCUGCUUUUAAUUCUGAUGGUGCUUUUGGAGAAUUGGACUUCCCUUCAGGCAUUCAAGAAUUUCUUCAUACUGAUCCUCCCUGUAAUUAAGGCAACCCCCCACUUUCUUAUUAUUACUCUUUUAGCUUUGUUGUUUUAUUUUAUUACAUUCUUCUUUCUAAAUGUUAUAUCCAAAUGCAACUAUAUAGAAACUUUAGAGCCUUUAUGACUUAUAGAAAAGUUGGGAGAUUCUUUCAUCAUGGCCCUAGGAAUCUUGAGCAAUUAAUGUUACAUUGCAUUGUUGUGAAGGAAGGCUGAUAAUUUCCAUACAUUUAUUAAAAAUUCAAGUCCCCUGCUAAUUUGUUAUCUAUUACUAAAAGAUUGUGUGCAUUUCAUCAUAAUUGGAAAACUAACAUGGACACGAUAAGACUUUGUUGUUGUUAAAGGCAACAAUAAUGUGGCAAUUGGGAAUCAUUUUGAUUUUUCUUCUUAACAAAGAGCAGCUCCAAGGAUUGAUUGGUGGCGUUUAUCAUUUAACAAGACAGUGUUGUUUGAAGCUUCACAAGGGCAGAUAACACCUCAUUUGUAUUGGGUCGAUGUUCAGGAUCAGGGAGGGUGCAGCACAGGGAUAGCUUAAAGAGCUCUGCCAACACUUCAUCAUGAUUUUUUGUAACAUUCCAAGUCAACAAAGGGUCCACGAUAUCAACAAGUUGUUCUAUUCCAUUUGCAAGGGCUUUUGUCACCACUUCAUGCAAAGUGAUUGGCAAACCAUCCUCUUCUGAGAGUCCUGUCGGCCUUCUUUUUGUUAGAAACUCCAUUACUAUGAUACCAAAGCUGAACACAUCCGCUUCAGUUGUUACUUUCCUCAUGUAGGCAAAUUCUGAGAAUUACACAGCAGAAAUACCUUGUUUAGAGCGUGAAAUUUAUAAAAAGACUUUGGGUGUACAAAGUUAAUAAGCUAAGAGGAUUGGAAACAAAGUUAUAUUUAAUAUUAUUUUCUUUAAAAAAACCAUGGGUAUGUAAAGGGGUAGUGUUCUCCAUGCUACUGUAAAUCUAAUAGCAAAUGUUUCUGCCUAUCAUUACUCACAAAUCAAUUAGCUAAAGUCACCAGUAGCAAAAACUGAUGGAAGCUCUGCACGCUAAUCUCAUGUUGAAAUGAUAGUCAGUAUAUUUGAUAUGCUGAUUAUGGUAAUGCAGUCACAAUAGUUCUACUUCAUUUUUUUGCUACAAUCAAUUAAUACUGAUCCACUGUGAAUUGUAAUCACUGCUUUAACUAAUAUAGCAUCUGAGAGGAGGGGGGAUAGUUGUAACAUGGACUAUUUAUAAGUCAAUGUUUUCAUGCAACAAAUUAUGCAAGUCUUGGUGAUGCUACCUUCUUUGAAAAGAACAAUCAAAUUUGGGUUCGUAUGCAUUGAAUAAAAACAGAAAAUAGACACUAACACACGUUCAAGACUUGAGCUCUUCUUUAUGUUAGUUUAGCUGAUUAGAACCAUUUAAGGUGUGGGAUUUACCCACCAUACAAAUCCAACAAGAACUAAAAUGUUCAUUUGAAUUGUAAGUCUGUCAUGAACAUAAGUGUGAUGAAAAUAUAUUAUACAUUAAAGAUGAGAGAUUAGCAAAAUAGGAAAGGGUUAUACCUGGUGCCAUAUAGCCAACUGUGCCUUGCAAAGCUGCUGAUGAGGAAAGGGUACUACCAGCCUGCUCAUGAAGACCAAGUAUUCGUGCUGUCCCAAAGUCACUGACAUGAGCUUCCCACUCUCUGUCUAAAAGAAUGUUAGAAGGCUUUAAAUCACAGUGCACAAUGGGAAAAUCAUAACCAGAGUGCAAAUAAUCCAAUGCACUAGCAAUAGAAAUGAAAACUCGGACUCUUUCAGAUAAUGUCCACCUAGAGGUCACAGACUGAUCUACCCCUUUGCCGUGUAUGAUGCUAUCCAAAUUCCCAUUCUCCAUGUACUCUAGAACCAAAGCCUUCAUUUUCCCACUCUCCCAGGCAUAUCCAAGUACCUUGACCAAAUUCCUAUGUCUCAUCUGGCUCAAGGUGUUGGCUUCUCUCUUGAAGAUCUUGUCAGUAUUUGCAGAGAAUUGUUGCAGAUUCAAUCUUUUUAUGGCUACAACCUGGCCAUCUUCCAUUUGACCUUUGUAAACUGUGCUCAAACUGCUAGAACCAAUGAUGCUGUCUGCACUGAAAAAACCAGUGGCAAUCUCCAACUCCUUUGGAUUGAACCUUUUAAGUGGCAAUGCUGAACUGUAUUCUGGUCCAUGAUUCGCACUAAUAUCCCUUUCUUUAGAAUUGCAGAGUUUGAUACCUCUAUUGAGAAUUAGAAUCACCAACACUAGUAAUAGCAGUAUAGCAAGUGAUCCAAGUGAAGCAAUAAUAGAUAUGCUCUUCUUGGAUAGUGAAUGUUUUGUCUCUCUGCAUUGUGAUAGGAACUUAGCUCCACAAAGAUCCUGGUUUCCUACCAUACUAGAUGCAUUGAUGUGUGCAAAAAUUCCGGAAUUGGGUACAGGACCUUCAAGUUGAUUGAAGGAAAGGUUGAGAUGCACCAAGUUGGAAAGGUUGGCAAAGCGCUCAGGAAUAGUUCCCUUCAAGUCAUUCUGAGAAAGAUCUAGGGAACUAAGAUGAUCAAGUUCUGCUAAUAUUUCAGGGAUUUCACCUUCUAGAUGAUUUCUUGAGAGGUUUAAGUUUUCAAGCAAGUCCAUGUGACUAAAAGCUUCUGCAGGAAUAGGACCUGAAAUAUUGUUUCCUGAAAAAUCAAGAUUGAACAGAUUUCUGCAUCCAGCAAGUGUUUUGGGAAUGAAACCUGAAAGAUUAUUGUUUGAAAUAUCAAUAGCUUGUAUCAUUCCCAACAUGCCCAACUCAGUUGGAACACUUCCAACCAAGUGGUUGUAAGAAAGGUUAAGAUACAUCUGCAUGUCUUUGAAGUGUGCAAUGACAUCUCUGGGAAUUGAUCCUGUGAGCUGGUUGUGAGAGAGAUCCAAUGAUAAAAGCUGAUUAAGCUUCCCCAUGCUUCUUGGAAUGGACCCAUCAAGUUUGUUGCCGUGAAGGUCUAAGAAUGAAAGCAUCUCAAGCUUUGAGAGAGAAUCGGGUAUUUGACCAACCAACUUGUUUUGAUGCAGCAUAAGUUCAGUUAGUUCUUUUAAUUCAGAGAGCUUAUCAGGUAUUGGACCUUCUAAUACAUUUGCAUAUAGAGAGAGCCCCUGAAGGUGAGAAAGUUUGGACAGUUCUGGAGGAAUUUGACCUGAAAACCUAUUUUCUGAAAGGGAUAAAGUGACGAGUUGAUUCAAGUUUCCAAUCUCUGGUGGAAUUGGUCCUAUGAAAGAAUUUGCAUUCAGCUGCAGGCGUAUGAGUUUAGACAGGUUCUGGAUACCUGAUUUUAUCAAUCCACUGAAGUUGUUCAUUGCCAAACUUAGAGUGCUAAGAUUUGAGCAGUUAUAGAGGUCAUCUGGGAUUUCCCCAGUCAUUUUGUUGGAUGUAAGAGACAGGAAAGUAAGAUUAGGCGACCUUGAAAAACCCUCAGGAAUUUUCCCAGUUAAAGCAUUAAAAGACAAACUUACAUUUACAAGACUAGUAAUAUUGGUAAUGCUAGAGGGAAUGGAUCCAUGAAAGUUGUUGGAGUUCAAAACAAGAAACUUCAAAUUAUGAAGCACACCCAAGUUUGGAGGAAGUUCACCUGAAAGGAGAUUCUGGCUCAUUGACAGAUAUGUCAAGUUUGUCAAGUUUGUUAUUGAUGAAGGGAUCUUCCCAGUAAAAGCAUUUGAAUGCAGGGUUAGAACCUGUAAGGAACUCAGAGAUCCAAUCUCAGAAGAUAUUGUUCCCUCCAAUAUAUUCUCUGAGAGUCCUAAAUGUGUUAACGAUUUCAACUGGAAAAUGGAAGAUGGAAUGGUGGAAUUCAAAUUAUUGUGAUAUAACCUCAGAGUCUCCAACCGAACUAAAUUUCCUAGCUCAGGAGGAAUACUUCCAAUAAACUGAUUUUCAUAAAACUCAAGGUUUAAAAGCUUGCUACACUUAGCAAUCUCGGAAGGGAUUUUCCCACUCAAGGAAUUUUGGAACAAUAGAAGGUAUUCUAAAUUUGUCAGAUUUCCAAUCUCUCGAGGUAUUACACCUGAUAACUUGUUCUGGCUAAAAUCAAGAGCUCGCAAAGCUACUAACUGACCUAUGGAAAGAGGUAUAGACCCUACCAAGUUAUUUCCAUAACCUAAAAUCUGUGUAGCAUUAACUAGAUUCCCAAUGUUUGAUGGGAUUCUGCCAGUAAGGUUGUUGAAAGUAAAAGCAAUUCCCAACAAAGAAGUGCAGUUGAAUAUGCUGUCAGGGAGGCUUCCAUUCAAGAAAUUGUUACCUAAAUCCAAAUACUGCAGGCUUUUAAGAUUUCCUAAUUCAGGAGGAAUAGGACCUGAGAGAGAAUUUUCAAAAAGAGAUAGUGUAGAAAGAUGAGUGCAAAAACUGAGCUGAGCAGGAAUGUAGCCAGUGAAUGAGUUUGAAGUUAAAUCAAGAACCUGAAGGCCUGAAAUGUUUCCAAGGAAAGGUGAAAUCUCCCCUUGGAGCUGAAGACUAACCAGGGAAAUUGAAAUGACAUGACUUGAAGAUGGAUCACAUGCAAUGCCAGACCAGUUGCAGUGGUGGUGACUGUCAACCCAAUCUGCAAGAGCCCCACUUGGGUCACCAGUGAUGGAGUUCUUGAAAGCUUUCAAUGCUUGAAUUUCAACAUCCAAGCUUGUUUCAGCAUGGGAAACUAUGGAUACAAUGGAAAGGACUAUGCCUAUAGUCAAACUAAUCUUUAGGGACAACAUCAAUGUGGAAUAUGGUAGAAUAUUCAAUGGCAGUUUCCUGAUACAAAAAAAAAUGGAGUGGAGUCUUUAUAGGCAGUUAAUGUUCAUUCAUACACCAAUAAUUUCAUAAGGCAUGGCCCCCCAUUUGUGACAGAGUGAGUUCAAUGACAUGUAGGCAAGUCAAACAUUAGCAGGGAUUAAUGUUACUUAGAACAAAAACCGUGAUUGUUUGGACAAUGACUUAAUAUCUUAAAUUUGACUAGGAGGUCAUCCCGGUAUAACGAAACAGGUUGCAUCUUCUACUGAUUGAGACACUGCAUAGAACAGCCAUGUCAAACAUAAAUACAUACGUAUCGGCAAAGGUUUAAGAGAGAGAAAGAGUACACGAGGUAUAUAUAUAUAUAAUAGGCUAUCCAUAGAGUUCCAAAACUAGAAAUAAAUAGAGUUAGUAUGUGUUUGGAUAUGCGUCUGUUACGCACGUCUUCCCCUAAAAUCACGUCAAAUUGACUCAUUUACGUGAAAGUUAGGAUUUGUAGAUUCUGCAGAACAUGGAAAGAGAAUGUAUACGCGAAUUGGAUAAUCGUAACCAAACAAUCACUUAGAUUAUUCCAGCUUAAAGUAGGGUCUUAUUCUAAUCUUAAAUAUAUAAUUGCGUUAAAUAUUUAAAUUGAAAAUUUUAUCGCUCACAGUGAUUUUAUUUUAUAUGAAUAAAAUUAUUUCUGGUAAAAAAAUACUUGUAAUCUCAACAAAAGUAAACAUAUUUUUUUAAUACCUAAUAUUAGGAAAAACUGGUUUAAUAAAAUGCAACAAUUAAAAAAAAUAAGACUUCAAUUAAAAUUCAUUACAUUAUCACCUAAUCAUAGAUUCUCAAAUUAUUGAUUUUUGCAAUAAUUACUUUAAAAACUUAUAUUUAAAAUGGUUUUUAAUUACUUCAGUGUGAACAUCUUUAAUGUAUUAAUAUAUUAAGGAGUUGAGCGUGACUAGUAGAGCAAAUGAUGUGUAUUACAAAAGCUGCUAGCAGAGUCGGCCAUGAGAAGCAAAAAGUGAGAAUGCAUAUCGGUAAACGCGGUUUGCAACAAGUUGUGUGAUGAAGCCAAACAAAGCAAGUUGCUAAUAGAUAAUGGCAAAUAUUUUAAAUGUGAAGUCGUGAUAUUGAAUUCAGACGUGUGGACUGGGUUGAACCUAUCACGAUCCAGCAAAUUAAUCUCUCAAGUGGCAAAUUUUAUAUAUCAUGUAAUACCUUUAUAUAUAUAUAUAUAUAUAUAUAUAUAUAAUGCUUUUAGGUUGGAUGAGGAUCCUCUAGAAUCUAGAGUUGUGACUUGCGAGUGUGUGUUUGAGUUUACAUCCAGACCCACAUUAAAAUACUAAUUCUUAAUUUGAUUUUAGGUAAAAUGUUUACCUUGCAUUUAAAAAAAAGAGGGUUAAUGUUUACAAAUUUAAUUUGAUUUUACUUUGAGAAAUUUAGUUGAUACAGCUUUAGGUAAUUUUUACGUUAAAUUGAAAUUUCUAUAUCAAGUUUUACUGUUAAUCAAUUUAAUUCAAAAUUCAUUUUCAAAAACAUUCGCUCAAACUCACAAAAAUUGUCAUGAUAAUGAUGAUAUGCAUGUUUUCAUUUCCCCGGUAAUUUUCUUUAACCAAUCCCCCACAAAUUUUACUAUAAACUUGCUUUUUUAAUAUAAAAAAUUAAUACAUAAAUCUCAUCAUUUAAAAAUUAAUCUCAUUCAAAAUUAAUAUUACAAACCUUAACUCUCAAACUCACAAACAACUAGUCACGAUGCACCUUUUCAUUUCCUGUUUAAUUUUGAUUUAAAAAACAACUUAUUUUAAUAAAGGCCAGAUAUCUUUUGCAGUUCAAAAAAUGCAGAGAAUCGCCAUCUAUGAUUUUAACCAUUAGUCCAUUACUAAUUAAAAUUAAAUCAAGUGCGUGAACUUAAAUAGAAAAGAAAAAUUGUCUUUACUCUUUUUUUCUUAAUUCAUAAUAUUUAUUUUGAAUUAAUUAAUUAAUUUCAAUUGAGUAAAAUUUAACAGCUUAUAAUAUAGAGAAAAAGAAAAUUGAUAUGUUUUAUUAUAUUUAGUGUUGAAGUAAAAGAAGGUAGAUGGUACAUGGAGCAUAAUUUUACGAAAUAACAAAAAAAUCAUUAUCCAUCCCAGAUAACAAUUUAUUCUGUCAAUUUUUUAUGCGCAUGAUUAUAUAAAAAUGAACUGUAGAUAAAGGAAAAUCAUGGUUUCUGUAAUUUUAAUGAUAAGACAAAACUCUUUACUAAAAAGAGUUUGUUCGACAAGUUGCAAAAAUAUGAUUAUUUGAAAGAAUAAAAGUGGGAUAAUACGCAGUUUCCUUUGUAAACAACUUUUAAAUGAAUCCCACCAAAUAUGGCUAUGUUAUGUAUUUCCAUUUUUUGUACUCACUUGCGUAUCAAUUUCACUGAAUAGGGUUGUUUAACUUAAAAUUUAUAAAUAUAUAUGAUUAAUUAAUUAAUUAAUUAACAACUUUUUUCCCAUAAAUAUUAAAUAAUGAGCUAGUAGCAAUUUAUUUUUUAUAUCCAAAUUGUAUUACAAAGGAUGCAAGCAAACCCUGAAACCCAUGUAGAGUUACCAAUUCACAGGACAAGUGUACACACCACCAAGAUUAAUCUAUAUAGGCCAGGGGAUAUCUACAGCUACCAAAAUAAAAUAGAGCCUUUCUUUUCAGAGAUUUAGAAACACGCCACUUUUAGGACCUGACACUAUAAUAAAAUCGCAAGGUUCAUUUCUAAAUAGGGUUUCACACAUAAGAGCCCAAAAAACUAUAUAUUUUCUUCAUUAGAGCCCAAAGAGACUGAAUGGCACAGCUUGCCAAAUCAGAAUCAGCACGAUUUUUCUUUAGCCAUAAGAUGGUAGCAACAAGGAGAUGCGAUCCCAAGUCGUCUAAACGCUCCACACGGUGCGGAGACAUUGGCAAUGCAAGAAAUCCAUCAAGCACAAAUGGAACAAUUACACAAGAAAAUUGAGGAUGACUUAGAGGUCUCAAGGUAAAAUUAUCACUGCCACAUCUCUUUCUUUCUUUCUUGAUCUUAUUUUAUUAAGUGUGUAUUCUUUCUUUUGCGAAUUUUUUUUCCGAGUUGAUUUGACUUAACUGGUGUGUUUCCUCAAGCAAACGCCCUUUGUCCCAAAAUUGUUUUUAAUGUUUUGAGGCAAUUUCUUUGUUUACAUCAAUGGGGGUUUCUUUAAACCAUAGUUUUGGAAUUUUCGUUUUAAAUUGUUUGCCUUUUGGCUACAUUGUUUGGUUUUGCAUUGUCUGGUUCUUCUUUAUUCAAGAACGCACGAUCUUGUGCAAGAAUAGGUAUUGGGGUAUAUAUAAAUCCUAAAAGGUUGGCCCAGACCAUGAAAACAGAAAAACACUGAUGCUACGAUGAGAUGAAUUCUUUAUUCAUCGCUUGAAGAAGGAUGCUAUCUUUCAAUGUUGUUAAUGGUGGAUGGCGAUUCAUAGCGGAAAGUAAAAAAUCCGUCAUAAAAAUAUGGCAGAUACAGGGAUUGGGAUCUCUUAAGCUACACUUUCCAGAUGUACCUGUCAUGGCAUUGACUGCCACUGCAAGGCAUGCAGUUCGUGAGGUAAUCAGAAUAUCAAAUCACCUUUAGAUGGUUUUUAUUUUUUAGGACAUCUUGAAGGCUUUAAGAAUUCCCCAUGCACUUGUUCUUGAAAGAAGCUUUGACCGACCAAAUUUGAAAUAUGAAGUGAUUGCUAAGACAAAGGAGCCAAUAAAGCAGCUUGGACAGUUACUAAUUGAUCGCUUCAGGAAUCAAUGUGGAAUUGUUUACUGCCUUUCAAAAAGUGAAUGUGUUGAGCUCUCCAAAUUAUUGAGUGAGAAAUGCAAGAUCAAAACAGUGUAUUAUCAUUCUGGCUUGUCUGCCCACCAGAGAGUAGCCGUUAAAAAAAAAAUGGUAAUGAUGGAGAGGUCCAUAUUGUAUGUGCAACUAUUGCUUUUGGAAUGUGGAUAGACAAACCUGAUGUUGUAAGUUGUGCUACAUCUUAAAAUUAUAAUAAUGCUGUUAUCAUUCACAAUUUCAUGAUCAACUUUGUUUAGGAAUUUUACACUUCAAGAAAGAAAUUUCAUCCUUCUCUGUAGAUAAUUCCAUGACUUGAUAGUUGAUACUUAUUGAUCACCAGUCUGCUGACUAAGAAAUGCCCUGGACAGCCUUUUUGUAAAGCCACAUCAUUACCAAAAACCUUCCUCUCAACCUCUCUGAACUUUACACAGGAAGUUCUUUUCCAAGCCAUUUUUUCUUGAUUGGGUUAACUAAAUUUCAAAUAAAAAUGAUAAUUCCUACAAUUAUUCAAAUCCCUAGUGAUCAUCUUAUAAUCUUAUUCUUAUCCAUCCUUCCCAAGUGCAUAAGUUGGAAGUAUAAACCUACUGCCUUGUAAACUUAAAUGUAAUAUGUAUACGUUAGUGCAGAACUUGCUUGGCUAGGGAAAAUGUAGACACUUUCAAAUAUAGGGAUCAGUUCUAACAGCAAGAAAUUCUUAUUGGUAUCCUAAAUUUAUAGAUUUUGUUACUCAAAUUUUCCUUUUUAUUGUCAUGUUUUCAGCGCUUUGUCAUCCACAAUACAAUGUCAAAAUCAAUUGAAAGCUAUUAUCAAGAAUCUGGAAGGGCUGGAAGAGAUAAUUUUUCUUCAGUUUGCAUUGCUCUACACCAGAAGAAAGAUUUUAGUAGAGUUGUAUGCAUGAUAAGAAAUGGCCAAGGAUAUAAAAAGGAAAGUUUUAAGACAGCAAUGGCUCACAUCUAUGUACUGUGAAAUUAAGGUAAUCAAGCUCCUUACAUUUCAACAUCUAUUUGUUUUUUACUUUUUUCUCUCACAUCUAUGGUCAGUUUAAUACCUUUGAAAAUGGAGUUAAAAAGAAUAAUGUAUGAGUUCUCGAUAUAAGUUUUCAUAUAAAAAUCAUCCAUAAAUUGUUCACCCGUGUUUUUAACGGUGUAACAAACUGGCGACUAGUGCAGAAAAGUGUUAAUCCCCAAGACUUUUUAUAUUUUAUCCUUGUUUGUAUGGGUAGGCUGAAUGCCGGAGACAAACUUUACUCAAACAUUUUGGAGAAUCUUUUGAUAGAAGAGACUGCAAGUAUGGAUCUAGCCCCUGUGAUAACUGUCUCAAGACUGUAUUGUGAGUAGAGAUUGGAAUUUAACAUUUAAUUGUUUAAAAGUGGAGGAAAAAAAGCAUAAAUAGAUGAUAAAAGUUGGGUGGGAUUCUGUUCUUGAUAGAUAUGAUAUUUAUGUCAUGACUUCAGACUUUAGACCAGGAACUGAAUACAAUGAUGGAAUUUCGAAGUUCUAAUGGGUCUAUAGGUUUAUUCCUCAGGCUUCAGGUGCUGUUUAUUUGGGAAGGAGGGGGUGUCGGAUUGAUAGUUACAGAUAAAUGUUCUUCUGAAAUAGUUUACAUAACUAAUUGCUAUGUUACAAUGGAUUUUUCAGCAAACUAGUGCUGUGGAUUAAAUCAGACGAGGAAUCAAGAGAUCAGUGUGGCAGACUAAUUCAAGAAAGAAAUUCAAAGCAAAGCAAAAGUGAUGCUAUGAAACCAAAGAAACCUCUUGCGGCCUUCUUCUUGCUCUUGUACAGAAGCUACAUUUGUUCCCUUUUUCUUUAUUUAUUCUGGUUACAUGUGAUCUUUUAUGAGGUUUAGUUAUUCUUUGUGUUAGAAUUGUUUGGGGAAAAUGUUAAUUUUAUCAGAAUUUAGCUAGUUUCAUGUAUCCGUUUUCUAGAUAUCUGCCAUAUCCAUAGCUAGCUUUGUAUAUUUUGAGUUUCUAACUUGAAAGGUAGCAAAACACAAGACAUGAUUUUUUGUAAUAAUUUACCCUUGGAAGUAAUGUCAUCUCUAAAGUAGAUGGGAUACAUUCUAUUUCAUGCAUUUUUAUACUUUUCAAUGUAUGCAGGAUUCUAUAGUAGAAUAUUGUUAGCUUCAGAGCAAUAAUUUUGAGGAGGUCAUUAUUUGAUGUUAGCAUAUAUAUACAAGUCAAUUUUAAAUGCAUUGCCGAAUCAUGUUCAAGAGACCAUUCAUUUUUAAACAGGAUGAUUAUUGUGACAUUUAUACAUGAUUUUCUUGUGAUAGUUUCCUUUCCUUGCUUAUAGCUUGUUUUAUUGUUCUAUGUUCAACUUCAAUAUAUUGCCUAUUUACUUUAUAUGUAGUACUGCCACUGAACCUUGCAUAGUGGCUAUAUUUAACUACCAACGGCUUCUUUCUUGUAUGAAAAGUCUUAUCCUCAAAUUUAUUAUUUACAGGAAGUUCUUUUUCGUUCUGAAGGGAAGAUUUUCAUAAAGAAUUUCAAGAGUAGAAUCUUGAUGUAAAGUCAAUGGGUGAUGUAUUUGUAGAAUUUCAUCCUAAUUUAAACUAUUUUAUAGAAACUGAGACACAUAUCCUCAUUGUAUCACAUGAUGUUGGUAGCACACAUAGUUUUCAUAUAUUUUUAGUUUAAUUGUAUUUUUUUACUAUCAAUUUUUUAAUUUUUGACGAAAUUUUAUUCAUAAUUUUUUAAUUUAACAUGUUUUACUUAACUUUUUAGAAUUUUGUAAAUUUUAUUCUGUCAUCUAUUCAUUAAUAAACACAAAAGUUGAGUGUAAAACUUGUCUAAAAGAUUAGGGAUAAAAUUCACUAAAAAUUAAAAUAUUGGGAUAAAAUUUGUCUAAAAUAAUGAGUCAUCGGUAAAAAGUUUAAUUAUGUUAGUAGUAAAAUAUCAUAGGAUAAAAUUUACAAGAUUCUUAAAAGUUGAGGGUAAAAUACAUCAAAUUAAAAAAUUAGGAUGAAAUUCACCCAAAAUUAAAAAGUUAGAUAUAAAAGGUGUAAUUAAACCUAUAUUUUUUAACAAAAAAAUAUCUAUCAAUAUAAGUAUAAUUUCAUAUAAUACAAAAAAUAAGUUUUAAAAAAUUCAUUAAUUAAUGCAUAAAAAUAUACAAUAUUUGAUGGGGUGUGAUUAUGGAAAUAUAACUUAAAACUCAUUUAAAAUAGUUGAGUUUAAUUUUAAAACUUAGUUUUUACCUUGUCAAUAAAACAGUUUAUUUCAAAAAAGUUUCAUAAUAUUAUACAAAUAAUUUUUUUUAACUAUUACAAUGAUCUCUAUUGUCAUGAAAGUAUCUACUUGUCUCUAUAAACACUAAAAAUCUACUUAUGCACAAAAAAAUUAUUGAAGAAUUUUAAUUAAGUCCUUGUAUUUAUUAAGUUUUUAAUUAAAUCCCUAAACUUUUAAUUUUUUUUAAUUGAGUUCUUGAACAAACACAUUUUUAAAUCUUUUUAAUCGAGUCCGUGAAUACAUUUUGUUAGAGCCUCCUUGAUCUUAUUGAAAAUUUAGAAAUACUAAUUUAUAAUACAGGUGACUACUCAAUACUCAAGUUUAACUAUUAAAAAUUAAUUCUUUUACAAAACCCUAAUAAAAAUAUGGUAGAACCUAAUUAAAAAAAAAUGUAAGUUAAAGGACUUAAUUACAAUGGGUCUAUAGGUUUACUCUGGCUUCAGAUGUUGUUUUUUUGGGAAGGAGGUGGUGUCAGAUUGAUAGUUACAAAUAAAUAUGUUAUUCUAAAACAGUUUACAUAAUUAAUUACUAUGUUACAAUGGAUUUUUCAGCAAACUAGUGCUGAGGAUUGAAUCAAACGAGGGAAUCAAGAGAUCAGAGUGGCAGACUAAUUCAAGAAAGAAACCCAAAGCAAAGCAAAAGAAGAACAAACAAAUGUUUGAUGCUAUGAAACCCAAGAAAUCUCCGUCAGCUUUCUUCCCCCUUUUUUCUUUAUUUAUGCUGGUUACAUGUAAUCUUUUAUGAGGUGUUAGCUAAUCUUUGUGUUUCUCAUGUGUUAGAAUUGUUUGUGUUUCUAGAUAUCUGCCAUAUCCAUUUCUAGCUUUGUAUAUUCUGAGUUUCUGAUAUAUUAAGCUCUCUUGGAAGGUAGCAAAAUAUUAGCGGUUCUUUAUUAGAAUGAACAACCUGUGACUGAUGUUAUAUGCUUACUUUCUUUUGCCAUCUGACUGAUCCUUGUAAUAAUUUGCCUUUGGAGGUAAUGUCAUCUCAAAAGCAGAUGGGAUUCAUUUCAUUCUAUUUAAUGCAAUUUUACUUUUCAAUAUAUGCAGGAUUUGAUAGUAGAAUAUAUUUAGCUUUAGAGGCAUAAUGUUGAGGAGGUGAUUAUUUGAUGUUAGCAUAUAUACAAGUCAAUUUUGAAUGAAUCACCACAUCAUGUUCAAGAGAAAAAAAAAAACCACUCAUCUAAACAUGAUUUUCUUGUGAUAGUUUCCUUUCAAUGCUUCUAGCUUUUUUUAUUGUUCUAUGAUCAACUUCAAUAUACUGCUAUUUACUUUAUAGUUUAUAUGUAGCACUGCCACUGAACCUUGCAUAGUGGCCAUAAUUUAACAACAAACUGCUUCUUUCUUAUAUGGAAAGUCUUAUCUUCAAAAUUAUUAGGUUUACUGGAAGUUCUUUUUCUUUCUUAAGGGAGGAUUUUCGUAAAGAAUUUCAAGAGCAGAAUCCAGAUAUAAAGUCAAUGUAUGAUGUAUGUGUAGAAUCUAUUCUAUUAGUAUUUCUUCUAAUUUAUUUUAUAUUUUUAAUUGCUCAAGAAUUUCAAGAUUGUUCCAUAAUUGAUCAUUUACAAAUUUUAAAUUUCUUAAAAGCCAAUGCAACAUAAAAGUUAGUCAUCAAUUUUUAAAUUUUGCCUGUUUUAAGAGUUAGUGAGAAGUUUUUAUACUUCUCUAUCAUUAUCAUUUGAAAAUUAAUAUAAUUCUUUUGUGUUUUAUUCUUCCCUUUGUUCAUUCAGAUUGGCAAGGCGUGUGGAGAGAAGUGGAAAACAAUGACUUAUGAGGUUAGUUUUCUUUUGCAGCCUCUCCUUGCGUCCUCUAAUUAGAAUUUUGGGGUGAACUCAGCUUUAAUGCAUAAUUAGAUUAAGAUACUAUGGUACAGACUAUAAUCUUCAAUUGGGUACAUGAAAUUUAGCUCGGUUCUUCAGUUUUAGAAAAAUGGUAUUCGGAAUUGAUCACCAAAAAAAAAAAACACGAAAUCACCUCUAGCUUCUUGCAUUGUUAAAUGGCGGUGCCAUGGCAAAAUGGCAGAGCAGAUUUUAUGGUAGAUAACAUCGAUGAAACUUUGGUCUUUAAUCGAUCUGAAUGGCAUCAUGUAAUCCAUGUAGCUGACCUCAUCGAUUAGGACAAGGCUUUGUUGCUGUUGUUGCAAGGAUGAGAUAGUGUGGGGUUUUAUAGAGCCUUGGGUUCCCCAACUACAACACCUACAUUUGCUUAUCUUCAUCCAAAUCAAUAUAGUGUUAGAGUUUGUGGUCUUAGUUUAAAGGAAUUAGUGGGAGUCUUCUCAGUUUAGAGGAGGCAGUGGGAGCAAUGGCAUUAGAAGAGGGGAAGGUGAAGAUCUAGUGUUAUAUAUAGAGACACCUUGUAAGCUUUUAUGUGCAAGUAAUAAAAAGUUCUCCUAGUGUAGCCGUGGACGUAGCCACAUACAUUGUGUGCUGAACCACGUUAAACUGUGUGUCUUUUUCUUUCUUCCCUUUAUUUCUUUCUCUUCUUUUAUUGCUCUAUACUAACAACUGGUAUCAGAGCUUUUGGUUACUCCACGGGAUUUCCUUAGUUUAAAGGAAUUAGUGGGAGUCUUCUCAGUUUAGAGGAGGCAGUGGGAGCAAUGGCAUUAGAAGAGGGGAAGGUGAAGAUCGAGAAGUUCGAUGGCAGAGAUUUCAGCUUUUGGAAGAUGCAGAUAGAAGAUUAUCUAUAUCAGAAGAAGCUGUAUCAGCAUGAAGCAAGAAGAAUGGAACUUGCUAGAUCGACAGGCUCUUGGCGUGAUCAGAUUGACAUUAGCCAAGAACGUCGCGUUCAACAUCGUGAACGAGAAGACUACUGCAGGCUUAAUGAAGGCAUUAUCAGAUAUGUACGAGAAGCCGUCAACAGCCAACAAAGUAUACUUGAUGCGCCGGUUGUUCAACCUCAAGAUGGGAGAAGGUAUCUCUGUAACUGAUCAUAUUAAUGAGUUUAAUACUAUUCUAGCCCAAUUGGAAUCUGUGCAGAUUAAAUUUGAGGAUGAGGUGAAGGCAUUGAUUCUAUUGUCAUCACUACCGGAUAGUUGGGCUGCAACUGUUACUGCAGUUAGUAGUUCUACAAGGGAGAACACAUUAAAGCUUAGUGACAUCCGUGACUUGAUCUUGAGCGAAGAUGUUCGCAAGAGAGAUUCAGGAGAAUCUUCCAGUCAUGUUUCCAAUUCAGCAUUGAAUACUGAAGGCAGGGGAAGGACUACCCAGAAGGGUCAGAAUGGUCGAGGCAGAUCAAAGUCAAGAGGGAAAGGUCAGAGAAAAUUUCAAAGUGACGUUACUUGUUGGAAUUGUGACAAGAGAGGUCACUUUAGCAAUCAGUGCAAGGCACCAAAGAAGAACAAGUCGCACAAAAACAAGAAGCGCGAUGAUGAUGAAUCCGCAAAUGCAGCAACUGAUGAACUUGAUGAUGCAUUAAUUUGCAGUUUGGAUAGUCCUGUUGAUUCAUGGAUCAUGGACUCAGGUGCGUCGUUCCACACUACUCCCUCUAAAGAUUUAUUGUCUAACUAUGUUUCUGGAAGAUUUGGAAAAGUUUACCUUGCAGAUGGAAAAUCUCUUGACAUUGUCGGAAGAGGUGAUAUCAACAUCAAGACCUCCAGUGGAUCCCUAUGGACAUUGCACAAUGUCAGACAUAUUCCUGCCUUAAAGAGAAAUUUAAUAUCUAUAGGGCAGUUGGAUGAUGAGGGACAUCACACCACUUUUGGAGAUGGAGCUUGGAAGGUAACAAAAGGCAAUCUCAUUGUGGCUCGUGGAAAGAAGCGAGGAUCUCUUUACAUGAUUGCAGAUGAGGAUAUGGUAGCAGUUACUGAGGCUGUCAAUAAUUCAACCAUGUGGCAUCAAAGACUUGGACAUAUGAGUGAAAAAGGAAUGAAGCUUAUGGAGGCAAAGGGUAAGCUAUCAAGCCUCAAGCAUGUUGAUGUUGGUGCUUGUGAACAUUGUAUCCUUGGAAAGCAGAAAAAGGUCAGUUUCUCAAGGACAGGGAAGACUCUGAAAGCUGAAAAGCUAGAAUUGGUGCACACAGAUGUUUAGGGGCCAGCCCCAGUGAAAUCUGUUGGAAACUCACGCUAUUAUGUCACCUUUAUCGACGACUCUACCAGAAAGGUAUGGGUUUAUUUUCUUAAAAAUAAAUCUGAUGUGUUUUCUGUGUUUAAAAGGUGGAAAAAAAAAGUUGAAAAUCAGACAGGUCUAAAGGUUAAAAGUCUGAAAUCUGACAAUGGUGGGGAGUAUGAUAGUCAGGAGUUUAAAGACUUCUGUUCAGAACAUGGGAUCAGAAUGAUCAAGACAAUACCAGGAACACCUGAGCAAAACGGUGUUGCAGAAAGGAUGAAUAGAACCUUGAAUGAGAGAGCAAGGUGUAUGCGGAUCCAAUCUGGCUUGCCUAAAGCAUUCUGGGCAGAAGCAAUAAACACAGCAGCAUAUCUCAUCAAUAGAGGACCAUUAGUUCCUUUGAAUUAUCAGUUGUCUGAAGAAGUAUGGUCUGGAAAGGAGGUAAAACUUUCACAUUUGAGAAUUUUUGGUUGUGUUUCAUAUAUACUGACAGACUCUAAUAGUAGAGAUAAAUUGGAUCCGAAGGCAAGGAAGUGUUAUUUUAUUGGUUAUGGAUCUGACAUGUAUGGCUACAGGUUUUGGGAUGACCAAACCAAGAAAGUUAUCAGAAGCAGAAAUGUUACUUUUAAUGAGAACUUAUUUUAUAAGGACAAAUUUUCUGCAGAAUCUACAUGUGCAGGUAAACUGUCAGAAAUUUCUGAGAAAGCAACACUUGAAGAAAUCUCAGAAAGUGAUGUAGCCAAUAGAAACCAGAGUACAGGCGUAGAGGUUGAGUCAGAACCAGAACCAUCAACUCCUCCAAGAAAAUCUAGCAGAAUUUCAGUACCACCAGAUAGGUAUUCCCCUUCAUUGCAUUAUUUGUUGUUAACUGAUGCUGGUGAGCCAGAAUGUUUCAAUGAGGCUACACAGGGGAAUGACACUAUUGAGUGGGAGCUAGCGAUGAAAGAUGAGAUGACAUCCCUUCAGAAGAAUAAGACGUGGUCUUUAACUAAAUUGCCAGAAGGAAAGAAGGCAUUACAGAAUAGGUGAGUCUAUAGGCUAAAGGAAGAAUCUGACGGUAGAAGAAGAUACAAGGCGAGACUUGUGGUGAAAGGGUUUCAGCAGAAACAAGGAAUUGAUUUCACAGAGAUCUUCUCUCCAGUUGUAAAGAUGACUACCAUCAGAGUUAUUCUGAGCAUAGUAGAUGCAGAGAAUCUUCACUUGGAGCAGUUAGAUGUUAAAACUGCAUUCUUGCAUGGGGAUUUAGAGGAAGACAUCUAUAUGACCCAACCAGAAGGUUUUGAAGUGCCAGGCAAGGAGAAUCUUGUAUGCAAGCUUCACAAAAGUUUGUAUGGCUUGAAACAAGCACCGAGGCAGUGGUACAAGAAGUUUAAUGAGUUUAUGAGCAACUCAGGAUUCAAAAGAUGUGACAUGGACCAUUGCUGCUAUGUUAAAAAAUAUACUAAUAGUUAUGUUAUCCUUGUUGUGUAUGUUGAUGACAUGUUGAUUGCAGGAUCUAGUAUGGCAGAAAUUAACAGGUUGAAGCAGCAGUUGGCAGAAAACUUUGAAAUGAAGGAUCUUGGUCCAGCUAAACAAAUCCUUGGUAUAAGAAUUCUUAGAAACAGAUCAGAAGGAAUUUUGAAGCUGUCUCAGGAGAAAUAUAUACACAAGUUGCUUGACAGGUUUUACCUUGGAGAUUCUAAGACCAGGAAUACUCCUUUGGGAUCUCAUUUGAAGUUUUCAAAGAAGCAAUCUUUGUAGACGGAUGAAGAAAAAUGUUACAUGUCAAGAGUACCAUAUGCAUCAGCAAUUGGGAGUUUGAUGUAUGCUAUGGUGUGUACCAGACCUGACAUAGCACAUGCAGUGGGAGUUGUCAGUAGGUUCCUAUCAAAUCCAGCAAAGGAGCAUUGGGAAGGUGUAAAGUGGAUACUCAGAUAUCUGAAGGGUACUUCAGAGAUGUGUUUGUGCUUCAGAAAAGGCAAUCUCACUUUACAGGGAUUUUCAGAUGCAGACUUGGGAGGAGAUUUUGAUACCAAGAAGAGCACCACAGGCUACAUUUUUACCUUGGGAGGUACUGCUGUGAGUUGGAAGUCUAAACUUCAAGAUAGAGUUGCUCUCUCAACCACGGAAGCCGAGUACAUAGCUAUCUCAGAAGCAGCUAAGGAGAUGAUUUGGCUAAAGAAUUUUCUCAAUGAAUUGGGGAAAGAACAAGAUGAUGCUCCAAUGUUUAGUGACAGUCAAAGUGCUAUAAGUCUUGCUAAGAAUCCAAUCUUUCAUUCUAGAUGCAAGCAUAUUCAAUUAAGAUACCAUUUUAUCAGGGAGUUGAUAAAUGAUGGAGACUUAUCUUUAUUGAAGAUCUUAGGAUCAGAGAAUCCAGCAGAUAUGUUGACUAAAGCUGUUACAACUGACAAACUGAGGCUUUGCAUUGCCUCAGUUGGCCUUCAAGGAUAAUUGAAGAUGAAGGCGCUACACUAGGUAAAGAGUCGAUGAACUCGUUGCUUACAAGGAGCUGCUAGAGUUUGGAACUUAGACCCUAAGUGGGAGAAUUGUUAGAGUUUGUGGUCUUAGUUCCUUUGUCCCACAUCGCUUGGUCUGUAAAACUUGUGUGGGCUUAGUCCCACAUCGCUUGGUUUGUAAAAACUUGUGUCUCACUAGUGUUAUAUAUAGAGACACCUUGUAAGCUUUUAUGUGCAAGUAAUAAAAAGUUCUCCUAGUGUAGCCGUGGACGUAGGCACAUACAUUGUGUGCUGAACCACGUUAAACUGUGUGUCUUUUUCUUUCUUCCCUUUAUUUCUUUCUCUUCUUUUAUUGCUCUAUACUAACAUAUAGAACUAGUCUUUGAAGUUUGUUUUAUAGAGCCUUGGGUAUCCGUUGUAAGUUUUCCAGAGUGGACCAUGGCACGGUCUGGUUUCCAGCAAGGUAAGCUAAACACAAUCUGUUUGGCGCCCUUGAAAGUUUGCAAGCCCGAUCCGAGGUUGUUGAAGGAAUUCGUAGUUGUUAAAGGACUCUACAGUUCCAGAGAACUGGACAACGGGAUUUGCGGUGCGGUGGGGAUUAUUGGGGACCGAAUUGGUGCUGCUCGUUACAGAAGAAGGGUUGGGAAUAAUAUCAGAGUUGUUGGUUGUGCUGCUUCGUACGCUUGCCAUUGCUUCCAUUUUCCAUGUUGCUUAAUUAAUUUCUUGGUUCAUAUUCAACUUGUAGGGAUUUGGCUUUUUGAUUUUUCCUUUCUUGUUAUGGAUCCAAGAGAAACCAGACUAUGUAUGAGUGAAUGUGAGUUUUAGCUCGAAAUACGAGACUACCAGGAAAACAACUACAAAGUGACUGAUUUUUCUCCAAACAAAACAGAAUAAGUUAUGUUUUCUCAUAUCCAAUUCACUUGAUUGUUAAAGUCUUUUUUACAAGUACUUUUCCCAACACCCAGUUAGUAGAUAAGAGAUUUCGCUUGGUCAUAGUAAUUUUAACUCGAUCACAACUCAAUCAGAAUAUUUGGCGCCCACCAUGGGAGAGAGGAAAUUUUUUCCUUCGGCCAUAAGAUGGUAACAACAAGGAGAUGCGAUUCCAUGUUGUCUACACGCUCCACCCGGGUAGACAUUAGCAAUGCAGGAAAUCAGAGGACAGAUGAAACAAUUACGCAAGAAAAUUAAGGUUUAUUUAAAGGUCUCGAGGUAAAAGCACGAAGCGGACAUGCGAUGGUUAAGGGAGGAGAAUGUGAACCUCAAAGCAAGGCUUUGUUAUCCAUCAUCCACCUCCACCACCACCAACCCCACCACACUAUCCAUCCUUUCAAGCACCUACACAUGCGGAAACCAGGAACCAAAAAAAUCAUACUUAGUUGUCCUCCUACGGUAAUCAGGAGGAAACCUCAAUCCACUCCAGACUUAAGUCCCUCAAUAUCCACAAUGAUGUCAUUCACUUGUACCCGUUUGUUGAUGGCAUCAUGGACAUACCUCUACCCAUAACUUGAAAGUCGUUGAAUAUUUAAAGAUAUGAUGGUACAUAAGAUCCCCAUGAUCAUGCACGAUGAUCAGAGAUUUCGUUCGGCCACAACUCAGUUGGAACUUAACCGAAACUCAAUCACAAAUCAAUCGAAACUCAACCAAAACUUAGUCAAAACUCAACCUCAACUCAACUAGAACUUGAUCACAACACAACUGAAACACACUUUUUCCAUUUAGAGUACUCAAAUAUGAGAAUUUAUUUAAAAAGAUGGAAACUACUUAUGUAAUGAUAUAUAAAUAAAUCAUAGUGGAGAAGAACAAUGAUGUCUACUGUCUAGGACAGAACGGGAGAAUGUGAGAGGAAUUAAAGGUUAUUCCUUGUUAGUGGAUUGAGUCACAAAACUGACAUAAGCAUGAAACAAUAAACAGUUAUUGUCAACAAUCAACAUAUGAGUACAUAUGUUGCACAAAUAACUUGACUUCUCGUCGGCACUUGAACACUUAUUGACUCAAUUGUGUCGAUUUAAAUCAAGUCAUAAUAGCACAAUAACAAAAAGACGAGUCACCAAUUUCUUUUAAAUUAUUGGAAAUCGCAUUCUAUUGUAUCUGAUCACUUUUACACUACUUUUUUUUUUUUUUUAUCUCAACUGUCACACUUCGCACUAAUAAUAGAGCACAACAUGUUAGGUGUGACAGACUAGAAGAAGAAAAUCUUGAACCAAAGAUCACUCAAACUUUUUUAUUUAUUUAAAAUAAGUUAUAUUGUUAGACUUUUUGUAGAAAUAUAAGAUUUUUUUGUCCAUACAUUUAGUUUUUUUGGCUUAAUUAAUAAAAAUUAAUAGUAACUUUUUUAUUGACAAACCUAAAGUUGUUUGAAUUAUAAUUAUUUUAAAAUUAAAUAAAACUGAUCGAUUUGAUUGGAAAUCAGUUUGAUUUCUAGUUUGUUUACUCAAUAAAACUUGUUGUUGAGAAUCAGUCAAAUAAUCCCCAAAACUAGUACAAACCAGUGUGGACAUAUUAAAAAAUAUUUUAAAAAUAAAAAUAAAAAGAUAUUUAGCUCAAUCCUAGGCUGAUCCUAGGGAAUUGAACAUGUCCUGAUUACUUCAUUUAAACCUUAACUUUACAAUAAAAACUUACUAAUAAAAUGAAUAAAAUUUAAUGGAGUUAGGAUCUUAUUAAGUGCUAAAAUCAUUUGAGAGAAUUUUUUCCUAGAUGUAUAUUGUGAAAAAAUAUGAUUCAUCAUCGUGUCUUAAUACAAUUAAAUACUUAAAAUUUCCAUCUACUUUUUAUUACUAUAAGCAUUACAAUAAAUAUUAUAUUUUUUUAUUUUACUUUAUUUUUAUCUAUAUAACAAACAUUUUAAAUAGUAAAUAAUAAAAAAGUGCUUAUUACUACUAUAAAUCUCUUUCUUCAAUUAAAAUUUAUCAAAUAUAACUGAAUUACUAAUUUGAUUAAAAUAAGUAAUUUUAAAUGGAAUUCACUUAAAUAGCCGCUUAACGUUAGCGACAGCCUUUAUAACACACCGUCUUUUUAAACUCUUGACUGGACUACGAUAAAGGUGAGUCUAGUCAAUUUCUUUUUAAACUCUGCGAUGCUAAAUUUAGCGGUGUCACUCACCUGAAUUUCUCUUUUUUGUGAUCUUUGGGGCCUUUAUCAAUGCCACAUCUCUUUCUUUCUCUCUUGAUCUCAUUUUGUGAUCUUUGGGGCCUUUAUCAAUGCCACACCUAAAUUUAGCAAUGUCACUCACCUGAAAUUAAGUGUGUAUUCUUUCUUUUGCGAAUUUUUUUUCAGAGUUGAUUUGACGUAACCCAAAAUCGUGUUUAAUGUUUUGAGGCAAUUUCUUUGUUUGCUACAUCAAUGGGGUUUCUUUAAACAAUAGUUUUGGAAUUUUCGUUUUAAAUUGUUUGCCUAUUGGCUACAUUGUUUGGUUUUACAUUGUCUGGUUCUUCUUUAUUCAAGAACGCAUCAUCUUGUACAAGAUUUGCACGAACUCAGAGCGAGAGCAACAGGAGGAAUUGUCUACUUUCCGCAACCAGAUAUGUUCUGAAGGGUAAUCCCUAGGACCUGGAAUGCAACUCACUUAGCAAGUCUUGCUUCAGUUAAAAACGGAUAGUAUAUCUUUUUCCUAAUCUGGUAUUCUUGCUAGAGUUAAAAACAGAUAGUAUAUCUUUUGAUUUUGUUUCCGGCAAUGCAAGAAAUCGAUCAAGCACAAAUGGAACAAUUACACAAGAAAAUUGAGGAUGACUUAGAGGUCUCAAGGUAAAAUUAUCACUGCCACAUCUCUUUCUUUCUUGAUCUUAUUUUGUUAAGUGUGUAUUUUUUCUUUUGCGAAAUUUUUUUCAGUGUUGAUUUGACUUAACCUAACUGGUGUGUUUCCUCAAGCAAACGCCCUUUGUCCCAAAAUUGUUUUUAAUGUUUUGAGGCAAUUUCUUUGUUUACAUCAAUGGGGGUUUCUUUAAACCAUAGUUUUGGAAAUUUCGUUUUAAAUUGUUUGCCUUUUGGCUACAUUGUUUGGUUUUGCAUUGUUUGGUUCUUCUUUAUUCAAGAACGCACAAGAAUAGGUAUUAGGGUAUAUAUAAACCCUAAAAGGUUGACCCUGACCAUGAAAACAUAAAAACACUGAUGCUACGAUGAGAUGAAUUCUUAAUUAUCAUAAAACAAACUAUUUGAGUUGUCACUUAAUCCAGUUGCAAGUUGAAUUUAUUUUUCAACAUCAGAAAAAAAAGAUGGUGUUUUUUUUAUGCUCAUCGAUCCUAAAUUGAAUGAUCUUUUUGAGUUUAACUUUAAUGUGACUAAAAGAUCCUAAAUUGAAUGGUGUUUUUUAGUUUAACCUUAAUGUGACUGAAAGAUGACUUUCUUUUGUAUUCAAUAUUGGGAAAAUACAUGAUACUUAUUUAAGCUUAAUGACCCUUAUUCACAUUAUAUGCUUGAGUUGUUACUUAAUGUGGGUGCAAGAUAAAUUUUAUAUUCAUUAGUUUGUCUGAAUUACAUAUUCAUCAUCGGAAAAAAAAUACUGACUUAGUUUUUAUGUCAUUUAUAAAAAUAUAUAAUUUAGUGAUUAAUGGCGAAUGGCAAAACAUCAUCGGAAAAUUCAAUACUGACUUAGUUUUUAUGUCAUUUAUAAAAAUAUAUAAUUUAGUGAUUAAUGGCGAAUGGCAAAACACUGUGGAAGGUCAAAAUUCCGCCAUAUAAACACGCCAUUGUGCCGCCAUGGCGGGCUUUCCUUCAUAAAUUUCCUGAGGCGGUUGGCAAAAAGUCCGUCCCGCCAUUCUGCCAUGGCGCUGCCUUGGCCGGUAUUUAACAGCAUUGACAUUCACCGAAUCAUGUUGAACACUAAAAAAGGCCAUUCAUCUUUAAUUGUUGUGACAUUUAAACAUGAUUUUCUUGUGAUAGUUUCCUUUCCUUGCUUCUGGCUUGAUUUAUUGUUCCAUGUUCAACUUCAAUAUACUGCUAUUUACUUUACAUGUAGCACUGCCAAUGAAUCUUUCAUUGUGGCUAUAUUUAAAAGCCAACUGCAUCUUUCUUAUAUGGAAAGUCUUAUCUUCAAAUUUAUUAUGUUUACUGUAAGUUCUUUUUCAUUCUUAAGGGAGGAUUUUGAUAAAGAAUUUCAAGAGCAGAAUUUAGGUGUAAAGUCAAGGUGUGAUGUUUGUGUAGAAUCCAUUUUAUUAUAAUUUCUUCUAAUUUAUUUUAUACUUUUAAUUGCUCAAGAAGAAGGAUUGUUGCACAACUAAUCAUUUACAAAUUAUAAAUUUCUUAAAAGCCAAUACAAACUUAAGCAUCAAUUUUUAAAAUUUGCCUGUUGUUUUAAGAGUUAGUGAGAAGUUUUUAUACCUCUCUUCUUUUGUGAAACUAUCAGCUCUAUUAUUAUCAUUUGCAAAUUAAUAUAAUUUAUUUAUUUUUUUGUUUUAUUCCGCCCUUUGUUCAUUCAGAUUGGCAAUGCAUCUGGAAAGAAGUGGAUAUCAAUGACUAAUGAGGUUAGUUUUCUUUUGUAGCCUUUCCUUUUUUAUUAUUAUUAUGAUUGUGAUGUCUGAUGGCUGAAAACUGAGUAAAUUAAGCAUGUGAGGAAGAACAUUUUUGUUAUAUUUGAAGCAGUUGGAAUUAAUUGUAACUACUUUUUCAUUUCUAAGCUGAGAUACUAAUAAUGGUAACUGAUAUAUUUACUGAUAUACAGGUGCUCAUCCCUUUAUUUCUCAUUUUCUUCCUUUUAGCAUAUAGAUGUAAUACCGAAGUAGCAGAACUGUGUCCUCUGAUUAGAAUUCUGGGGUGAACUGAGAUUUAAUGCAGAAUUAGAUUAAGAUACUAUGGUUCAGACUAUAGUAUUAAAUUAUCUUAUUGGGUACAUGAAAUUUAGCUUUGUUCUUCUGUUUUAGAAAAAUGGUAUACUCAGAAUUGAUCACCAAAAAAGAUAUAUAUGUAAUUAUCUUCAGUUUCUUGCAUUGUUAAAUCACGGCGGAUUUUAUGGUAGAUAACAUCGAUGAAACUUUGGUCUUUAAACAAUCUGGAUGACAUCCAUGUAGCUGACCUCAUCUAGUGGGAUAAAGUUUUGUUGUUCUUGUUGGAAGGACAAGAUAGUGUGGGGUUUUAUAGAGCCUUGGACUCCCUCAACUACAAAAUCUACCUUUUGUGGUGUGUUUCUCCUAAAGUUUUUAUUAGCGGCCAUGCUCAUUUGCUGAUGUUCAUUCAAAAUCAAUAUAGAACUAGUUUUUGAAGUUUGUUUCCUGUUUGAUUACUUGGCAAAAUGGAGCAUGAAGUUUGCAUAUAGUUUAUUCGUUUAGGUCUUAGCAAAUAGAAAAAAUAUUUUGGCCGAGUUCUAAGUUAACAGCACUUGUAUCUGACAGGAGAAGGUUAAAUACUAUGAUAUAGCCUCAGAAAAACGUAUAGAAUUUGAUAGAGCAAUGGCAAAAUUUAACAAUAAAAUGGUAAGCAAUCACUCAUUUUCCUUGCUAUUGAGUUGUCUCUUAUUUGCCCGGUUAUGGAAUAUUCAAUUUAUUUUCUGCUGCUUGGCAGGAAAGUGGGGGAGUUUGACGAAAUUGGUGGGUAAAGCCUCCUUAUUUUUCUGUAUUCAUUUUUUCUUAUGAUUCUGCCGUCAUUUUCUCUGGGUUGCAUAUUGCAAGUGUUUGUAUUGUUUCAAAUGCUGGGAAGCUUAGGGUGGUUCUUUGAGAAUACUCUAUUUCUUUUGAUGGAGUUUUGCAUCCAUUGAGAAAUUGGAAUUUAACAUUUAAUUGUUCAAAAGUGGAGGGAAAAAGGGUAAAUAGAUGAUAAAAGUUGGGUGGGAUUCUGUUCUUGAUAUUUAUGUGAUGGCUUUAGACUAUAGACCAGGAACUGAAUAAUGGGUCUAUAGGUUUAUGUGAUGUCCCAAAAUUGUUUUUAAUGUUUUGAGGCAAUUUCUUUGUUUACAUCAAUGGGGGUUUCUUUAAACCAUAGUUUUGGAAUUUUCGUUUUAAAUUGUUUGCCUUUUGGCUACAUUGUUUGGUUUUGCAUUGUCUGGUUCUUCUUUAUUCAAGAACGCACGAUCUUGUGCAAGAAUAGGUAUUAGGGUAUAUAUAAACCCUAAAAGGUUGACCCAGACCAUGAAAACAGAAAAACACUGAUGCUACGAUGAGAUGAAUUCUUUAUUCAUCGCUUGAAGAAGGAUGCUAUCUUUCAAUGUUGUUAAUGGUGGAUGGCGAUUCAUAGCGGAAAGUAAAAAAUCCGUCAUAAAAAUAUGGCAGAUACAGGGAUUGGGAUCUCUUAAGCUACACUUUCCAGAUGUACCUGUCAUGGCAUUGACUGCCACUGCAACGCAUGCAGUUCGUGAGGUAAUCAGAAUAUCAAAUCACCUUUAGAUGGUUUUUAUUUUUUAGGACAUCUUGAAGGCUUUAAGAAUUCCCCAUGCACUUGUUCUUGAAAGAAGCUUUGACCGACCAAAUUUGAAAUAUGAAGUGAUUGCUAAGACAAAGGAGCCAAUAAAGCAGCUUGGACAGUUACUAAUUGAUCGCUUCAGGAAUCAAUGUGGAAUUGUUUACUGCCUUUCAAAAAGUGAAUGUGUUGAGCUCUCCAAAUUAUUGAGUGAGAAAUGCAAGAUCAAAACAGUGUAUUAUCAUUCUGGCUUGUCUGCCCACCAGAGAGUAGCCGUUAAAAAAAAAAUGGUAAUGAUGGAGAGGUCCAUAUUGUAUGUGCAACUAUUGCUUUUGGAAUGUGGAUAGACAAACCUGAUGUUGUAAGUUGUGCUACAUCUUAAAAUUAUAAUAAUGCUGUUAUCAUUCACAAUUUCAUGAUCAACUUUGUUUAGGAAUUUUACACUUCAAGAAAGAAAUUUCAUCCUUCUCUGUAGAUAAUUCCAUGACUUGAUAGUUGAUACUUAUUGAUCACCAGUCUGCUGACUAAGAAAUGCCCUGGACAGCCUUUUUGUAAAGCCACAUCAUUACCAAAAACCUUCCUCUCAACCUCUCUGAACUUUACACAGGAAGUUCUUUUCCAAGCCAUUUUUUCUUGAUUGGGUUAACUAAAUUUCAAAUAAAAAUGAUAAUUCCUACAAUUAUUCAAAUCCCUAGUGAUCAUCUUAUAAUCUUAUUCUUAUCCAUCCUUCCCAAGUGCAUAAGUUGGAAGUAUAAACCUACUGCCUUGUAAACUUAAAUGUAAUAUGUAUACGUUAGUGCAGAACUUGCUUGGCUAGGGAAAAUGUAGACACUUUCAAAUAUAGGGAUCAGUUCUAACAGCAAGAAAUUCUUAUUGGUAUCCUAAAUUUAUAGAUUUUGUUACUCAAAUUUUCCUUUUUAUUGUCAUGUUUUCAGCGCUUUGUCAUCCACAAUACAAUGUCAAAAUCAAUCGAAAGCUAUUAUCAAGAAUCUGGAAGGGCUGGAAGAGAUAAUUUUUCUUCAGUUUGCAUUGCUCUACACCAGAAGAAAGAUUUUAGUAGAGUUGUAUGCAUGAUAAGAAAUGGCCAAGGAUAUAAAAAGGAAAGUUUUAAGACAGCAAUGGCUCACAUCUAUGUACUGUGAAAUUAAGGUAAUCAAGCUCCUUACAUUUCAACAUCUAUUUGUUUUUUACUUUUUUCUCUCACAUCUAUGGUCAGUUUAAUACCUUUGAAAAUGGAGUUAAAAAGAAUAAUGUAUGAGUUCUCGAUAUAAGUUUUCAUAUAAAAAUCAUCCAUAAAUUGUUCACCCGUGUUUUUAACGGUGUAACAAACUGGCGACUAGUGCAGAAAAGUGUUAAUCCCCAAGACUUUUUAUAUUUUAUCCUUGUUUGUAUGGGUAGGCUGAAUGCCGGAGACAAACUUUACUCAAACAUUUUGGAGAAUCUUUUGAUAGAAGAGACUGCAAGUAUGGAUCUAGCCCCUGUGAUAACUGUCUCAAGACUGUAUUGUGAGUAGAGAUUGGAAUUUAACAUUUAAUUGUUUAAAAGUGGAGGAAAAAAAGCAUAAAUAGAUGAUAAAAGUUGGGUGGGAUUCUGUUCUUGAUAGAUAUGAUAUUUAUGUCAUGACUUCAGACUUUAGACCAGGAACUGAAUACAAUGAUGGAAUUUCGAAGUUCUAAUGGGUCUAUAGGUUUAUUCCUCAGGCUUCAGGUGCUGUUUAUUUGGGAAGGAGGGGGUGUCGGAUUGAUAGUUACAGAUAAAUGUUCUUCUGAAAUAGUUUACAUAACUAAUUGCUAUGUUACAAUGGAUUUUUCAGCAAACUAGUGCUGUGGAUUAAAUCAGACGAGGAAUCAAGAGAUCAGUGUGGCAGACUAAUUCAAGAAAGAAAUUCAAAGCAAAGCAAAAGUGAUGCUAUGAAACCAAAGAAACCUCUUGCGGCCUUCUUCUUGCUCUUGUACAGAAGCUACAUUUGUUCCCUUUUUCUUUAUUUAUUCUGGUUACAUGUGAUCUUUUAUGAGGUUUAGUUAUUCUUUGUGUUAGAAUUGUUUGGGGAAAAUGUUAAUUUUAUCAGAAUUUAGCUAGUUUCAUGUAUCCGUUUUCUAGAUAUCUGCCAUAUCCAUAGCUAGCUUUGUAUAUUUUGAGUUUCUAACUUGAAAGGUAGCAAAACACAAGACAUGAUUUUUUGUAAUAAUUUACCCUUGGAAGUAAUGUCAUCUCUAAAGUAGAUGGGAUACAUUCUAUUUCAUGCAUUUUUAUACUUUUCAAUGUAUGCAGGAUUCUAUAGUAGAAUAUUGUUAGCUUCAGAGCAAUAAUUUUGAGGAGGUCAUUAUUUGAUGUUAGCAUAUAUAUACAAGUCAAUUAUUGCCGCAUCAUGUUCAAGACUAAAAAAGACCAUUCAUUUUUAAACAGGAUGAAUAUUGUGACAUUUAAACAUGAUUUUCUUGAGAUAGUUUCCUUUCCUUGCUUAUAGCUUGUUUUAUUGUUCUAUGUUCAACUUCAAUAUAUUGCCUAUUUACUUUAUAUGUAGUACUGCCACUGAACCUUGCAUAGUGGCUAUAUUUAACAAUCAACUGAUUCUUUCUUAUAUGAAAAAUCUUAUCUUCAAAUUUAUUAUUACAGGAAGUUCUUUCUCCUUCUUAAGGGAGGAUUUUCGUAAAGAAUUUCAAGAAUAGAAUCUUGAUGUAAAGUCAAUGGGUGAUGUAUUUGUAGAAUCCAUUUUUACUAUAUCACACGUAUAUUAAUUUAAAUUAUUCUAUAGAAAGUGAGACACAUAUCAUUGUUAUAUCACAUGAUGUUGAUAGCAAGCAUAUUUUUCAUAGACUUUAAGUUUAAUUAUAUUUUUCAUACUUGAAGUUAUAUUAAUAGUAAAAUAUCAAGGAUAAAAUUUACAAUUUUUUAAAAAGUUGAGGGUAAAAUACGUUAAAUUAAAAAGUCUAGAUAAAAUUUGUCAAAAAUUAAACAAAUAGGGAUAAAAAAUAUAAUUAAACUUAUAUUUUUGAAAAAAAAAUCUAUCAAUAUAAGUAUAAUUUCAUAUUAUACAAAAAAAAAGUUUAAAAAAAUUAUAAUUAAUUAAUGCAUAAAAAUAUGCAAUAUUUGAUGGGGUGUGAUUAUUCGAAUAUAACUUUUGUUUAAAACAUUGUUGAAAUAUAACUUAAAACUCAUUUAAAAUAGUUGAGCUUAAUUUGUCAAACUUAGUUUUUACUAGGUCAAUAAAAAAGUUUCUUUCAAAAAGUUUCAUAAAAUUAUACAAAUAUUUUUUUUUAACUAUUACAGUAAUCUCUAUAACCAUGAAAGUCUACUUGUCUCUACAAACACUAAAAAUGUACUUAUGUAAAAAAAACAAUAUUAGAGAAUUUUAAUUAAGUUCUUGUAUUUAUUAAGUUUUUAAUUAGAUCCCAAACUUUUAAAUCUUUUUAAUUGAAUUCUUGAAUACAUUUAUGGAAAAUUUAUAAAUAAUAAUUUAUAAACCAGGUCACUAGGUCACUACUCAGUACUCAAGUUUAACUAUUGAAAAUUAAUUAAUUAUUUUACGAAACCCUAAUAAAAAUAUGGUAGAACCUAAUUAAAAAUAUAUAUAUAAGUUAAAAGGACUUAAUUACAAACUUUAAAAUAUAUGAAUUUAGGGUAACUUACUUUGAUUUUAGUUUUAGUAUUUUAGUUUGGGUGAAAUUGCAGGACCCUGUGUAGUGUGUAGUCUCCAGACAAACAUGGCGAAAAAGGCAAAAGGGUCUCACUCUGCUUCUUCUGCCUCUGCAUCUUCCCGGUACCCAUUUCUCUUCACUUCCCCUUUCUUUCUCAAUCUCCGUUCCUUACUCUUUUCUGUUUCACUUUCUCUGUGCUCCCCUAUGGAACCCAGAAAAGGAAUUGUCAAAUAACAGAAUAAAGUUUUGAUUUUUUGUAUAUUUUUCUAAAAAUUCUAUGUCCGUGUGAUUUCUCUCAUUUGUGUUUUAGUUACUUGAAGUUUUAUUGUCACUAUACUUUGGAUAAGUUUUGCUCCCUUUGCUAUUCAGCGUGUAGUUGCUAAGGGGGGAAGUUUCUGUGAAAAAAGAGACAAUUGUGAUUCUGUCUUCAUUUUUUAUGUGUUGCAUUUUGGAAGUGUUUGUCUUUUUCAAAUGCUCGGAAACUGAAGGUGGUCGUUUGAGAAUACUUUUAUUUCUUUUGAUGGAGUUUUUCCCUUGAGACAACUGGAAUUCAACAUUUAAUUGUUCAAAAGUUGAGUGGCAUUCUGUUUUUUAUAUUGAUGUUACGGCUUCAGACUUUAGAACAGAAACUGAGUACAGUGAUGGCAUUUCGAAGUUCUAAUGGGUCUAUAGGUUUACUCUGGCCUUAGGUGUUGUUUUUUUGGGAAGGAGGUGGUGUCGGAUUGAUAGUUACAGAUAAAUAUGUUAUUCUGAAACAGUUUACAUAAUUAAUUGCUAUGUUACAAUGGAUGUUUCAGCAAACUAGUGCUGAGGAUUAAAUCAAACGAGGGAAUCAAGAGAUCAGUGCGGCAGACUAAUUCAAGAAAGAAACCCAAAGCAAAGCAAAAGAAGAACAAACAAAUGUUUGAUGCUAUGAAACCCAAGAAACCUCCGACAGCUUUCUUCUACUUCUUGUACAGCUACUUCUGUUCCCCCUUUUUUCUUUAUUUAUUCUGGUUACAUGUAAUCUUUUAUGAGGUGUUAGCUAUUCUUUGUGUUUCUCAUGUUUUAGGAAAAUUUGUGGAAAAUGUUAAUUUUAUCACAAUUUAGCUAGUUUCAUGUAUGUGAUUUCUAGAUAUCUGUCAUAUCCAUUGCUAGCUUUGUAUAUUCUGAGUUUCUGAGAUAUUAAUCUCUCUUGAAAGGUAGCAAAAUAUUAGUGGUUCAUUAUUAGAAUGAACAAACUGUGAUUGAUGUUAUAUGCUUACUUUCUUUUGCCAUCUGGCUGAUCCUUGUAAUAAUUUACCUUUGAAGGUAAUGUCAUCUCAAAAGCAGAUGGGAUUCAUUCUAUUUAGUGCAUUUUUACUUUUCAAGGUAUGCAGGAUUUGAUAGUAGAAUAUAUUUAGCUUUAGAGGAAUAAUGUUGAGGAGGUGAUUAUUUGAUGGUAGCAUAUAUACAAGUCAAUUUUGAAUGAAUCACCACAUCAUGUUCAAGAGAGAAAAAAAGACCAUUCAUCUAAACAUGAUUUUCUUGUGAUAGUUUCCUUUCCUUGCUUCUAGCUUGUUUUAUUGUUCUAUGAUCAACUUCAAUAUACUGCUAUUUACUUUAUAGUUUAUAUGUAGCACUGCCACUGAACCUUGCAUAGUAGCCAUAUUUAACAACCAACUGCUUCUUUCUUAUAUGGAAAGUCUUAUCUUCAAAAUUAUUAUGUUUACUAGAAGUUCUUUUUCUUUCUUAAGGGAGGAUUUUCGUAAAGAAUUUCAAGAGCAGAAUCCAGAUGUAAAGUCAAUGCGUGAUGUAUGUGUAGAAUCCAUUCUAUUAGUAUUUCUUCUAAUUUAUUUAAUAUUUUUAAUUGCUUAAGAAUUUCAAGAUUGUUGCACAACUGAUCAUUUACAAAUUUUAAAUUUCUUAAAAGCCAAUAACAUAAAAGUUACACAUCAAUUUUCAAAUUUUGCCUGUUUUAAGAGUUAGCGAGAAGUUUUUAUAAUUCUCUUUUUUUUUUAAACUAGCAGCUCUAUCAUUAUCAUUUGGAAAUUAAUAAAAUUAACAUAAUUCUUUUUUGUUUUAUUCAACCCUUUGCUCAUUCAGAUUGGCAAGGCAUGUGGAGAGAAGUGGAAAACAAUGACUUAUGAGGUUAGUUUUCUUUUGCAGCCUCUCCUUUUGUAAUGCAGAAGUAGCAGAACUGCGUCCUCUGAUUAGAAUUCUGGGGUGAACUCAGCUUUAAUGCAGAAUUAGAUUAAGAUAGUAUGGUACAGACUAUAAUCUUCAAUUAUAUUAUUGGGUACAUGAAAUUUAGCUCUGUUCUUCAGUUUUAGAAAAAAUGGUAUUCAGAAUUGAUCACCAAAAAAAAAAAAAACAUGAAAUCAUCUUUAGCUUCUUGCAUUGUUAAAUGGCGGUGCCAUGGCAGAAUGGCGCAGCUGAUUUUAUGGUAGAUGACAUCAAUUAAACUUUGGUCUUUAAUUGAUCUGAAUAACAUCAUGUAAUCCAUGUAGUUGACCUCAUCUAGUGGGACAAAGCUUUGUUGUUGGAAGGAUGAGAUAGCAUGGGGUUUUAUAGAGCCUUAGGUUCCCCGACUACAACACCUACUACAACUACAUUUGUUGAUCUUCAUUCCAAAUCAAUAUAGAUGCGGAAAUAGGUUUUAUUUUCCCUUGAAUUUGUGAAUAUAGAAUGCACAGGAUAUGAAUAAGAGUAAUAAUCUAGCCUGGAAAUCAGGGGAAUUGAUCUCCCUAUAAAUGCAAAUUCUAAAUAUGGUAAAGACAUAAAUGACAGCUAAUAAUUAUGUACAUAAAAUCCUAAUGAGUUGUACAAACAGAAUAUGUGAUUCUGCGUUGAUUUUCAACAAUAGAACUAGUCUUUGAAGUUUGUUUCCUGUUUGAUUACUUGGCAAAAUGGAGUAUCAAGUUUGCAUAUAUUGUAAUCGUUUAUGUCUGAGCAAAAAGAAAAAAUCAUUUUGGCGGAGUUCUAUAUUAACAACACUUGUAUCUGACAGGAGAAGGUUCAAUACUAUGAUAUAGCAACAAAAAAACGUGAAGAAUUUGAUAACGCAAUGGCUGAAUUUAAUAAGAAAAUGGUAAUCAAUCUGUUAUUUUCCUGUUUAGUGAGCUGACUCUUAUUUGCUCAGUUAUGGAAUAUACAAUUUAUUUUCUGCUGCUUGGCAGGAAAAUGGCGAGUUUGACGAAACUGAUGAUGAAUCAGAGUUUGAUGAGUAAAGCCCCCUUAUUUUUCUUGCUAGGUUGGAUCUGUAUUAGUUGAAACUAGUUGUACAUUCAGUUCUUGUCAGCUCCUUUCUGUCCUUGUUGAUAAUUAUCAUUUCUGUGUGUCAUUUGUAAAGUAUAUUAGUUGUAUUAAGAUGGUUAAAAUGGCAAUCUGGGCGUAUAUGUUGAGAUAUUGAAUCCUUAGUUAAACGCUAAGUAGAAAGAAAGCAUAACUCUUGCACUUCAUUGAUUCAUCUAUAUGUAACAACAUUUCCUUGUGUCAACCUCGUACUUAGAGAUACCUCCAAAAUAUUAUAUUUUUGUUUUUAUUAUGCAAUAGCUCUCUGCGGUAAUGUUGGAGUAUAAUUUAAACUUGUUCUUGAAAUACAUCAAAUAUAAUCUCUUAAACUCAAAUCCAUAAAAUAUAACUUUAUUGGCCUAACGCUUCGUUUGUGAGAGAAAACAAAACCUAGUAGAGAUGAUGAAUUUGCACGUGACAAAAGCAUUGGUAUGUAUUUAUUGACCUUUCUAAAUGGUACUGACUGCAAAAAUAAAACAAGGGCAUCACGAAUUUGGCGAAAGAACAACGAACAAUACAUAGCUUCACUAAACUGAUCAACUCCACCCAUUAACGAAGCAAAAUUCCAAAUAGGUCACUAUUUCUUUUAAUUUAGCAUCCACACAGGAACACAAAUAUUUGGAUCAGUUCUUAAUAUUCUUUGCAUGUUUAAUUCACUACCUACACCUCCUUCAUCUGUUUCUUGCAACAUAACCUACUGUCUUUGAGUUUCCACUUCAUGUGCAGUGGAUAUCUGAAAUGGUGUCUGCAAUGAAUUAGCAAUGCUUCUGACCUCAGCAAUCAUAGCAACCACAUCAUUAAGUCUAUUAACUGCAGAGCCUACACCCUGUGAUUUGGAAACAAUGAUCAAUAACUUGCCACCAGAUUGGUAGAAUAUUACAUAGCUAUGGUAAGGUUUAUCAGUUUAUGAUUGCUAUAAAAUUAGAUUGGUAAGAAAUUCAACAAAAAUCCAUACCACACCAGCAGCUCCAGCUGUUAUAGCCAUCGGUACUGUGACAGUGCUUAACCCCGAAGAGCACAUGACAGGGAUCUUAACAGCGCGUGAUAUAGAAUACGCUGCUGCUAAAGUUGGCGUUGCCUGCAAUGACCAGUGAUUAGAAAUUUGAUAGUUUAACAAAGGAUUUGCCAUAAUCAACUAUCAUUUACCAAUGCAACAAUCCGUAUGAAUGUAAAGAAACAUUAAUUUUUAAUUGCUUUAAGGGCUGAAAAUGUAGCUUCAGUAUGAAGUUUGUGGGGGAAAGAGAAAGGGCCAAUAGCUUAUCAAGUUUUGGAGUUCUGACACAUACAAGAGCGAAUGCAGAACAUUAAAUAAUUUUUAAGACUCUAAUAUGUUGAUUUAUGUUGUGUAAUGUCAUUGAGGCACUCAAUCAUAUUAUGUAGGUAAUAGGAAAAAGACAUUCAUAAGUGAAUCAAACAUAUUUUUCUGGUUACCUUCUCAAUCAAACCCAUAACACCAGAUUGUGUGGGAUUAGAACAUUUUCCUCCCUCAGUUUGAAUGAUAUCUACACCUUCUUGUUCCAAUGACUCUGCAAGCUUGACCUGUUAAGUAUGUAGAUUUAUUUAUAUGCCCAAGUAAAUAUUGAUAGUAUUGACAUAAUCGUGCACUCUGAAAUAAUCAAAAUGCUGCUUGUAACCUGAUCAGGGAGGCUUAGUGUGUGAGGAACAGUAACAGACAAGACUACAGAUGGAAGUAUCCUCCUUGUCUCCUUUGUUAGACCUAGAAUCUGCAAAGAAGGAUAAAUCAUUAAAAAAAAAUCAAGUGCAAGCAUCUAUUUAUGUCUGACAUUAAAUUUAGUUAUAAAAUGGGAAUUGACACUACUUAAGAGUUAGCAAGAGAAAUUCAGAUGGAACUAUUUCUGAGAGGGAGACAGAGAAACCAGAAAAAGGCCAAACAUUGUGACUACUACAUACAAAAUAUUUUAUUAACUUGUAUACAAAAAUGAAAAAGAAAGAAUAAGUUGACUAGAUGUAAAUACUUUAUAAAUGCCUUGCUCUACUCUCUCUAACUGCUGUCUGCUAAUUAUCUCCAAAUACUUUAUAUCUCUAUUCUUUACCGUUCAACAAAUAUAAUAGUAUAUCUAUAUUAUAUAGAUAACCAAAUAUUUUUAAAAUAUAUAUAUUGUGAUAUGUAUUAGCAUCUGACCCUCACAACCCCUUCCUCGCUUCUCUAACUUUUCCCUGCUGCACUGACACUAAUACACCGACAUGCACAUACAUAUAUAAAUUAUAUAUAUUCUUGUUCCUUAAGUUUUAGUGGCUAUCAUAAUCACUUUGUUUAUUAUGAAGCAAUCAAACAAGAUAUUUGUGCUCUGGGUGAAUUUUUUUUUACUUUUUGUCUAGUUGGAGAGUUCAAAUCCAACUUUCGGUCAAAUAUGUGUGGGGUUGACAAACAUCACAAAUUCGAGAUUAAUAAUGAAAUGCACUCUUUACCUUCUCUGGAGUGAAAAUUAUUCCCUUCUCGUAGAAUGAAUCAUAGUUUCCAAUCUCAACCUGUCGAUGCCAUUAAUCAUGUCAAGAAAAAAUCUCACAAGGUCCAUUUUAAUAUCUAAAUAUCUAACUUUCGUUUUGGAGUAUGAGAAUAGGCAAUAGGAUCAAACCAUUAGUGCUCCUGCUUCAACUGCAGCUGGAAAUGUUGCAGGAUCUACAGAAGAAACACAAACCUGAAAGAAGGAUCAAUCCUAAAUGGUUGAAGGAGGAAAGGAUCAAAAGAUUCAAAGCAUCAAAUUAAUCUCCUGACUAUACUUGCAUCUGUCAAAAAGGAGUUAAAAUGCAUUGUUCCAUCAAAUAAUGUGGGUACUUUAGCAUAUUUUUAAUUUGGUCCCUAUACAUGUAGCACAUUCUUAAUUGUUAUAGGGACCAAAUUAAGAAAGCAUUACACCUAUAGGGACCAUAUUAAGAAUACGCUAAAUAGAUAGAAACUAAAUUAAGAAUGUACUAUAUGUAAAAGGAUCAAAUUAAGAAUGUACUAUAUGUAUAGGGAUCAAGCUAGACUUUGGAUCUUCGUUACUUGCUUCAAUUACUUUGAUAAAGUCUAGCUAACAUUGAUUCUUCAGCAAUUAAAGAUACAUACAAGUAUAGUAAUAUACAUGUUCAAAAGCAACUUAGUAAAUGAUUAAGACAUCCAAUGAUUAUAAUAAACUUUAUGCCAAGGUAAUUUCCAAAUACCCUUUGCUCAGUCAUGUCCACAACCAUAUAAUCAAAGUGGCUAAGACGUCUAUAAGAAGGUAUGAAUUUACCGGACAAGAAGUUAAGUCAAUGGCCAGCUUUACCAACUCAGGGUCACAUGCUAUAUCCACGAGAGUUGCUCCACCCUGUUAGCCCAAAGGAUUAGAAAACAUACUCAUUGACAUUAGUAUGUUAGUUUAUAUUGAAAUGUGAAAUAUUUUACAGAGGAAAUCAAGAAGUUACUAUCUACAACUGAUUUCUUAUUAAAAAUUUAUGCAGAGGCAGUUGUCCUAACUCCAAAUUCUAAAAUUCAAGAGUCAGCACCGAGGAGAAUAAUUCAUAUGCAUUGGGUUAUCCUAUCCAUACGUUAGCUAUCAGAUACAAAACCAAUGCAUGGGUUCUAGAUCUUAUUUUUCCUUGGAUGAAUCGUGUAUAACCUACAAAACUAAAGAAACAGAGAAAAAAUAACAAGAGAGAAGUAAAAAAACCUUGUCUGCAGCAGUGACAACCGAGGCAACAUUGUCUUUAUUGAAAUUCUGCAAGCCUGAGAUAAUCUUCAAAAGAAGCCAAAUGUUUGUUAGCAUGCAUAAAACAUACUGAAAGCUUACACGCACAAGAUUUUAAUGAACGAAUUCAACCCCAUAUUUGACCAAACUCCCUUGCAAUAAAUUGUAUAUAUUUCAAUGCAACUCCUUGAUUAAAGCUAAUCUCUUUUUUUUUCUUUCAAAAAUCUAAAUUUUCAGCUGAUCCUUGAAAAUUUUUUCACCAUCAUACAUGCAUGCUGAAUUGCUGAGCACAAUGAACAUCAAACAAACCAGCCAAAGACACUAUACACAUGGAAAGGAAAAAAAAAAAACUACAUUUAGGUGAAGAAAACCAAACCAACAAAACGACAAGAUAGAAGAGAAAGUUGUAAAUGGAUUUUUGCUUUAGUUACAUUUAUUACCUUGAGAGCUCGUCGUUCGUUGAAAUGCUUCAAGACAUCUUCUCUGGUGGAUGAGAGAAUGGCUUUGGUAGUAAAGCAUGUUCUUCUUUUCAAGGGUAGAGAACAUGGCCUAGAAGUUGCAUCUGCACCCAGAAGAGGGUUGAGGUUUGGCUUUAGAGUGGUGUGAUGAGAAUAAGAAGAAGAAGAAAGUGGUGUGCAUGUUAAGGAAUACAUGUUUGUCUAUUGUCUGAUGCAGAUGUUAUCUAUGGGAAGCAAGGUUGUAGUGAAGAGCAGAACACAACAGAUAAGAUUGCUGCUCUUGUAGCUUUAUUUAAACUGUCAUGUUCGUCAGGUAUUUGGUCUAUUGGUAUUCAUAAUUUCAUAUUCCUAUUUUUUUUAGAUUUAAUUCCUUAUGAGUCCCUCUAGUUACAAAAUUUUUACUUUUAACUGUAUUUAAAAACAUCAAAUUUUAAUUACUUUUUGCCUAAUUAUUGUGUACAUGUGUUAGUUACCAUCUUCAAUCUUUACAAGAAAAGGAAUGUAUUUAUCUUAUUAAUGUAUAGUAUUUAUUAUAAAAUAAUUAAAAAUACUUUGGUAAAAAAAACUAAUAUAAAAGACAAUUUUAAAAAAUUACUAUAUUUGAAAAAAAGAAUCUUAUAUUUAAAAAUAAAGAUGAUAAAGUUUAAUAAUUUUAUUUUAUUAUUAGUCAAACAUAAUACAAUUUAAUGAUGUGACAUUUAAAUAAUAAUGUAACAAGGUGAAAAACAUUACCGUUUAAUAUAUAUAUAUAUAUAUAUGUUAACAUAACAUUAAG
This 47054-nucleotide long non-coding RNA is filed under the name Glycine max (soybean). RNAcentral describes it as "long non-coding RNA (GMAX_LNC001668)". Lineage: Eukaryota; Viridiplantae; Streptophyta; Magnoliopsida; Fabales; Fabaceae. The record is from RNAcentral.